ACAAACAUUUUUUAUAUCAAAGAAUAAAACAUAACAACAAACCUCCCAAUAAAAUUUAUUACAUAACAGACACAGUGACUCAUUAAACUGUAGGAUAGUUCAACAAUGUUAGUAACUAACAACAUAUGGUGUUUCCAUUAAUAUUAUAGGUGCGACAUUGUCCUACUAAAUAAAAAAUAGCAUAAAAAAACAUCUACAUUGCAAUCAUAUCAAAACACUACACUAAUUUAAAUCUUCUUCUUUAUGCGUCCAUCCUUCACCCAUGGGGAAAGCAGAACCCCACUUUUUACACGGUUUCUUGGCUUGUCCUUAAUUCUAGUUAAGAGAUUUGAUGCAUGAUGUGCUUCAUCAUAUGAUACAUUUGCCACCUCCCUUUCAAUAACUCUUUCAAUCUCAUCCAUGGAGACGUCCUCGUAAACACAUUCAUCAUUGAAGACACCUUCGUCCACAUAACUGGAUUGUGCACUACCGAAUAACUUCUUCAUCUCUCUAGUUUCCGAUUCAAGAAGAGAUAUCCUUGCGGCAAGUCGUUUGUUUGCUUCACCCAACAGGCGAUUGUUAACAAUUAACUGACUAAUAAUAAGAUCUGGUCUCCAUUUAAUAUAUCCACUUGGCGCUCGAUCUAACGCCUCCCUCACAACUUCAUUUGCAACCUCUUCUUUAGUUGCACUUAACUCUUCAAUAACCUGGCAAGGUUGAUACAAUAUAAAUAUUAAUGAACUAUUGACACCGCUUAAACCCUAUAUACAAAAUUCAUAUAGUUAAAUAUAAAUAAUAAUAUUUAUUCAACCUUAUCAAAUAAUUACCAAGCAAGUGUGAUAUAUUUUUGCCAACCAAACUAACACCACGCGCCUUCAUAAAUCGUGGAAACGUCAAUGGAGAAUCAUGAUAACUUCGUUCGUAUCCUAGUACAUGCUCUAGAGCCCAUACCUAUAUAUACAUAUAUAAUAUGACUAUUAUAAUUUAAUAAAAAUAAAUAAAUUAAAUUAAAUUGUUGCCAUAAAAUGACAUGAAGACAAAGAGUGGCCUACAAAACAAACACUCUUUCAUCUCCUAUAAAACUUCAUCCUAUGUCAUAUAGAGUUAUAAGUUGAUAUACUCAAAUUCAACGACAAUCAUCUGUAUUUAAAAGUGCUUACAAAUUAUUACUACAUUUUAAUAUGAGUUACACUUGUUUCAGUCACAGUUGCUAACAAGCUCUAAAUAUCAAUGAAUAAAAGAUAAAUUAUAAUCAUGUCACAAUAUGGCAUGAAGACAAAAAGUAAACAUCAAAUUAAAGUUAAACUUCACAAUUUUUUAUGUAACCCAACAUAACUUGAAAUCAAUACUCAAGGUCACAAUCAUAAUACAAUAUAAAGUAGAUGCAAAACUUUUAUAGAUAAAUGACGCAACAAGUAUAUAGCAGAAUUAGUAACAACCAACAUACAAUUCAUAACAAUUUCUUUUCAUUCAGAAAACAACAAUCAAGCCCACAACUAUUAAUUUAAUAUUCAAUCGCAAUUCGCACCAUCAUAAAAUAAGCUUAAACAUCAAGUCAAGAAAUCAUGAAGAAAAAGAAGCAACAUUAUGAGGAUAUAUCAACCUUAGAAUCCAAAAACUCAAACUCAAGAAACUCUUGUAAUAUAUAAUAUGUUACAUUUCAUUCUUGACAUAUAUAUUAUACUCUUCACAGAAGACAUAUAUGAUGACAAAGAGUGGCCUAUAAACGUAUAAAAUGAUCAUACAAUAACAUACCUGUAAUACAAAGAGGCGCUACUCGAUUUAAACUGCAAGCAAGAGUUUCAUAAACAGUGACACCCCAGUUGUAUCUCCCAAUGGAGUUCAAGUCGUCUAACAUUUUUAGGCACCAACCACUAACCUUAACACUUGAAUUUGGAAAGUAGAACUCGGAAAACCAAGAAGUAAAUAAAGUCGGCAAAACUUCUCAACAUCUUCGUCUCCUUCCAUAUUAAUAAUUUUAGCAUAAAUUAUUUUUACAUUGAUGACUUCAUUAUAAAACAUUGCUUUUGUAGUGGAGGUAGGGUCUUUUUUGAAGUUCACCUUUUCACGUAUUAUAUGAAGUCCUAAUGCAAAACAUACAUCUAAAGGUGUAAACCGUAUUAUCCGACCUUGUAUAGCAAACCCCCACUCCUAUCAUCCCAUCUUUCUACCAAUUCUUCAAGAAAAUUUUCGGAUAUUUUUAAUUUCUUAGGCAAACUCAAUAACCAUUUAAAUGGUGUUUUCUGAAUUUGAAACCUUUGAAGUUCAGUAAGCUUGUCGUUGACUUUAGUAAUAUACUUCGACUUACAUUCAUGCCUGAGACGUAACUGUAAUAAACAAGAAUUCCAAAGGCGACAUAUAAGGAAAGACAUUAACAAAAACACAAAACACUAAUGAAAUCAAACAAACUAAUUGACAUUCAUCACAUACACAUACCAUUUUGUUGGCUAGACAAUGCUAGAAUUACCACGGGAACAGAUGCAAUUAUUAUUAGUGGUUGAGAAGACUACAACAGAUGCGAUUGUUAUUGUCAAUCAAGUGAAUUGUUACUGUAAAAAUAAAAUAAAAAAUAUAAAGGCGUGUCAUCUUCAUAACUUAAUUCACAACUUAGAUAAUUUAGUUUAUCGUCAAAUGCAAUCUUAAAAUUAUCUAGUUUACUGUCAAAUGCAAUCUUGAAUAAUUUAGUUCACAUCCAUUACUAUUAUGUCUAGCUUUUAUCUGAAUAAACGACCAUGUAAUUUUGUCUAUGAAUAUUAAGAAUUGACUUAUGAAUAUCAAUGAAUGACUUGCUUCAAAUGUCUUUGAAAAUUGAAUUGUUGAAUUUGAGAUUCAGAUUUUAUUAAAUUGGAUUCAACUAGUUCGAUAUUUACUUAAUGAUGAAUAUGAUAAAAAAUAGUUUCAAGGAAAAAAAAAUUACUCUCGUGCAUUACAUCAGAAACAACCAAACAAGAGAACCAAAUCAAAAUACUCAUCACCAACUCAAAAAUAAUCGAGUUUGAAAGUAGGUAAAAUAACAAACCAAAACGUCACAAUAUAAAGACAUAAUAAGAAGCCAACAAAACAGGACAAGAAUUGCCUGGAGUCAUCAUUUCCUACAUUCAGCAAGUAAGCAGAAUCAUCAUUAAGUAAAUAUCAAACCAGUUGAAUCCAAUUUAAAAAAUGUGAAUCUCAAUUUCAACAAUUCAAUUUUCAUAGACAAUUGAAGCAAGUCAUGCAUUGAUAUUCAUAAGUCAAUUCUUAAUAUUCAUAAAAAAAUUACAUGGUCAUUCAUUCAGAUAAAAGCUAGACAUAAUAGUAAUUUGCCUAAGUAUUAUAAUUUAGAAUCUAGUAAUUCUCCUGCGAUCUUGGUUCACUCCGUGAAAACGGUAUCUGUGGCUGCCGUGACCGUUUUGUAACGGCGAAAUCGCACUACAGGACCGUUUUUUAAAACCUUUUUUGUUAAUAACUAUGUCUGCUACUAUAUAAUAUAUGUUUGUUAUUUUUGCUUUUCAUACACCAAAUUGUUUUAAAAAAUCAAUUUCUAACAUACAGUUUUCUUUAAUAAUUGAACUCUAUGAAUUUACCAAGAGACUAAACCAAGCUUCAAAGACUGUCAACAAACUUUAUCACUCAAUAAAACAUUGAAAGAAAUAGUUAAAUCUGUUUCAAAGAAAUGCUUACAUAAAUUAGAUUUCAGCGAGGAGCAAAGAACAUUAGAUUACCCAAGAUCUCAGUCAAGACCUUACAUAAAUCACAAAAUGUAACAGCCAAGAGGAAGAGGAAUAUGGAAGAAAAUACCUGAGUUGAAAAAGGAACACUGUGAAAGAGAUCGUCGGAGAUGGAGCAGGAGACGGCGGCUAGCGGCUAGGGUUGAAUGGAAGAUGGAGCAGGAGACGGCGACGCGCGGCUAGGGUUGAACGGAAUGAAGGGUGUGGCGGAAUGAAUGGUGGUGGCGGAAUGAAGGGGGGAAUGGAUGGAACUAGGGUGAAAGAGAAAUGUUCCACCGAAUGAAUUGAAAUGAUAAAGGGUACGGCUAAAAUUUUAUUUUUUUUGUCAUCUUUGAUUUUUUUUGUGACAUGAAAUUGAUUGAUUUUUUUAUUAUUAAUUGUAUUGCCACAUAAGGGUGGUAUAAGGUGUAUUGCCACCUAUGGUGGUAUACCUAUCACUCUUCUAUGAAAUAAAUUUAGCAAGGAUCCAUAUCCCCCUUCGUCAUUAUGACAACAAUUUUGUUUUCAUGUAUGAUAUGUAUUUUGUUAUGAUCAGUUGUAGAGCCUCAUAUAAAAUCUUUGCAUACUUUUUCCGUCGUGUGCGACAUAAAGUGACGCUAUUAUUCUACUUGGUUAAAUUACAUAACCAAGAUUACUAGUGUGAAGGUGAGAGAAAACACAAGAAGGGGGGUUGAAUUGUGUUGGAUUUUUCUUCUUUUUCUCCUAAGCCGAAAACACUGAUCAGAAGCAGAUAAAGUUCUAAUUCUGAAGUGAUCUUCAGGACUAGAUGCAGCGGAUAAAACAGAGAGAGAGAAAAGAAAGAUACAAAGCAAUUAUACAUGUUCCUUCCACAAACCGGAAGUCAGUCAUGUCCCCCUUGCACUUCCAAGGAGAGUUCACUAUGUAAUAUCUGAUUACAAUUGCUCACUGCUAAAACCAUCAAGAGACUUCAAAUGUUCAAGCACAACUACAAGAGACUUCCUAUGCUCCUGAACACAAUCAAGAGACUUCUAAUGCUCAAGCACAACUGCAAGAGACUUCUUAAUUCAAACAGAAUUACAAAGAAAAAUGUUUGAGGUUGAACACUUGAUAUACAAUAUGUGGUGUUCACAAUACAAAUCAGAUACAGACUCUUAAGACUCUAGAAUUUCUAAGAUAUGAAAGUUGAUAAGAAGUUCUAAGUGAAAUUUUGAAUGCAGAACAAUUUCAGUGGAUUUUUGGCAUUUUUUAAAUUGUUGUUGAGUCUUUUUUCAUGCAUUGUCAUUCUCUUAUUCUUCACUCAUUUAUAUAGAGGUGUGAAAGAGACGUUGUGAAUUGCCAGCACAUCAAAACAAAGUCGUUUGAAGAUUUGAUCAAUUUCAAUUUCAAUUUUGCAUGAUAUGGUUAUUGUCCUAUGAAGGAUCAAUUUCAAAUCCAUUCCAAUUGAGAGGGAACAUCGUUGCAGGCAGAGCUGUUUUUCUUGUCUUGUAGCAGAGACAAAAACAGAGUAGUGGUUGUACACUUCGUACAAUUGUACUUUGUCAACGCUCUUUGAAGAACAAACAUCCAAUGCCUUCAAAUCAUUUCAAAAUAGUUGUUGCUUCACUCUUCCAGUCUUCUUCAUUGUUUAGACGAGAUUAAAUCCAUUGAACAACCUUUGAAGCUUUAAGUCUUGCAUCUAAUGAGAUGCUUCUGAUGAACUUGCUUCUGAUGACGUCAUCACUUCAGGAGCACUUUUACUUCAGGAGCACUUCUCUUCAGGAGCACUUCAAGCUUCCUUUUUGUUGAUUCCAUUGCUCUCUUUUGUUCUUCCAGAACCUUUUAAGAUAACAAAUUUUUGUCUAUGAUCCUGUACACUUGAGCAAAUAUUAGCGUAUCCAGUUGACAAUUUUAAUACCUUGUUAUCAUCAAAACUCUUAAAGGGUAAUGUUAAACAUAUUUUAUUCCAACAUAGUGAAGGAAGAUUAGACCAAAGUAAACCGUCCAACAAAAGAUAGAGAAUUUUCCUUCAAGACCGACAACUUUCCCAUUUUAUUAAGAAUUAAUUCAUAGUAGAUUUAAAAGCUCUUUGAUAGGAAAUGGCACACCUAAAUACAUUAUAAUAUCCUUGGUAAUAUGGAUUCCCAAAUAUUUUCUCAAGUUAUUAUCAAGAUCUCUUAAGACAUUGAUAGAGAAGAAGACCUUAGAUUUAUGAAGAUUAAGUUUUUUGCCUGAAUCGUCACAAAAUUCUUUCAAAUCUGAAUAAAUCAAAACAAUCUGGUCAAAAAAGGGAAAGGCCCCCGAUAACUAAAACAAGAAUGUUAAAAGUCCCACUUUGGUUGAAAGCUGCUUUGAACAAGUGUUUAUAAGUCUGGACAAUCUUACCUCAAAAGUCGGUUUUAAGGGGUUGUGUUAAGACCAACCACAAAUUCUAAGAUGAUAUCACAUCCUCCUUUAAGAUCUAUUGGGCCACUUGCUCUCAGAAAACCAUUACCAACCACCAACCAUUUAUAUCUACGCACCAAGUCCAAUAAUGUUGGGUGUAUAAAGGUGUAUUAAAGAGUCCCACAUUGCUCCAGCCAGCGGUAGUUAGCUGCUACUACGUUCCUGGUUCAAUUUCCAGCAGCUUUCUCCUUCCAUUUUUCCCCACAUUUGUCCAUGUUUUAUACAUACCAUUUUGAACAAAUUUUUUCACUCUUUUUCAUCCAAUUGCAAAUUCAUCAAUAUAAAAGGUACGAAAAUAAUAUUUAACAAGAUAAAAAUAAAACACAAGAAAUAAUAUAAAAGGUAUGAAAAUGUCAUAGAAAUACGAAAAUGUCACAAGGUACGAAAAUGUAAUAAUAAUACAUCAUCAUCAUCAUAGUCAAACUGUACAUAAAAAAACCUAAUGAUAAUCAACCCUACUGCCUAUGGUGCCUAUGCCCCCUGCGCUGCCUGGCAAUCCGAUACAUAAGGGCAGGGCGACUAGUACUAUCAAUCCAAAUCAUCUCCUGCACCAGCUCCGCUUUAGUCAUCUCGGCACUCAUAGCCACAACAUUAUCAGCUAUCUGCACGACAUCCCUGAUGAUCGUAAGUGUGUCAGGCAUCUCUCUAGUAUAGGGAUGUAAAUGGAUAUCCAUGGAUGCGGAUAGUGUGAUAUAUGUGUCCGCUCCGUUAGAUAAAUAUGAAAUCCGUACCCUAUCCAUAUCCGCGCGGAUAUCCAUUUAGCGGGUAAUCUGCGGAUUUUGAGAUAUCUGCAGGUUUAUACAGAUAUCCAUGGAUAACAUUUAUAAAAAUAAAUUAAAAAAUUUGUUUAAUUUUUUUUAGCUAAAAUUUAGAAACAAAGGUUCUUGAUAUGCAUUUUCUUUUAUUUUUAGUAAAACAUAAUAUUCAUACAUUACAAUAACAACAAAGAUCACUGACUUAACAAAAAUAUAAAUAAUGUCACUUACAUUAAAUAAAAAUAAAGUUCUUUAAUUUAACAAAAGCAUAAGUAAAGUUCAUCAUAUUCAACAAAAACAAAGCUCUUGCUUCAACAUUCCCAGCCACUUCAUUUCCAAGGAGCGUAAUACUCCUUCCGGUCCUAUUUACAAGAAACGAUUUACUUUUUAUUUACAUUAAAUAAUUUAUGAAUUUGAUUUAGGUUCUUGACUAAAUACAUACAUUCUUCAAUGUAUCUAAAAAGUCAACUUUCUCUUGUAAAUAGAACCGGAGGAAGUAACUAAUAACACUCACAAUACCUAGGGUGUUUUCUUAGGAAGUUGAAUGAUAUUGAGGUUAUUAAUGUAAUUUACUCGGUUUAAUAGCGGGUAUGGAUAUCCGCGGGUGUGGAUACCAUUAAAUCUGUAUCCAUAUCCAUUAAUUAGCGAGUAGUUAAAAAAUCCGUUUAUUUUAUCCAUGGAUAUCUAUUAAUGUAUCUGCUCCGUGCCCGUGGCGGAUUUUAUCUACGGGUGCAAAUUUUUUUGCCAUCCCUGCUCUGGUAUGCUCCUCCUCUAUAAGCUGCUCCCGGUUCGCCGGCCUGGGACGAGAUCCUUCAUCAGGUGGGAUAAUCCGAGGGUGAGAGACUUUGGCAUACCCAAGCCAUGCAGACAGGCUGAUGCUCCCACACUCUCUGACACCUCUAUCCCCAAUCAGUGUAGAACCACAGACUGGGGUCUAUCAAUACAAUAGCCAACAUCUCCUUAGGCAUCUCAGGGACAUCUGACGGAUGUCUGGGGAUGUCCUGUAUAAAGCCAAGCUACCUCUUAACUCGCUCAGGUAAAUGACGGUACAUCCUCUCCUUCUCGCACAUCAGCCAUCCCGAGUAAGUGACAAUAAGCUGAAAAGGGUGCAUCUCUCUUUGAUCAUCAUAUAUAGACCACCUCACAUCAUCCACCUCUAAGCGAUCCAGCCGUGAGCGGUAAUGGUGCACAACUGUAUGCCCUCUGGUAGCAAGCCAUCUCCCCGCACAUGGUCUCUCCGACUUCCAGCUCUUGUUUUUCUUCCUUGGGUACGAACCUAGAAAAUGCUCCAAAAUCCAUCCCUAAAAAAAAAUAAAAAAUAAUACACAAAAAUAAAUAUUCGAAUUAAAUAUCAAAUAAAUCUAACAAAAUAAUAAAUAAAUUAUAAAAAAUUCACAAAAAUAUUAAAAUAAAAUCCUAAAUAAAUGUAGUCGAACUUAGGAAAAAAAAUCUAACAUGAUGAUAAAAAUUAUAAAAUAAAUUCAUAAAUAAAUGAAGAUAAAUAUUAAAUAAUUACCAUAAGAAGGGUCACACAACCAGCUAUCGUCUUGUUACACAGACGAACAUAAUCAUAAAGAUAAUCAUAUAGGUAAGCUAAGGUCAUCCCUCCCCAUGACCACUUCCAAAUAGCAUUCAAGUCUGUCAUACAAUCAAGAUAUACCAAGUCAAUUUGUCUGUUCGUUUUGUUAGUGAACAACGCACUACCAACGAGAUAUAAAAGAAAACUCCUCACACACCAACUCCUCCUCCUAUUUCUCUCCAGCAUUUCCUCCCUCGUUUGUGGGUUCUCCAGCCGUCUAGCCUCUGUCAGGUGGGAUUCAUAAAGCCGCUUCAGUGCGGUAUAACUAAUAUGAGCACCAUACUCACUCUUUGCCGCAACACGAGCAACAACAUCUGACAUGCCCAACAACCUAGUCAUCUGUGUAAUCCCAUGUGCCCGAUCCACUACCGUGUGAUGGUCCAGCAUGCGGCCCUGAAUAGGAAGGUGGAGGAGAUUAGACACAUCGUCCAAAGUGGUCGUCAUCUUCCCCACAGGUUGAUGAAAACUACUAGUCUCCGUGUGCUACCUAUCGCACAUAGCAUGUAUCAUGGCAUGGGUCACACUCGAAUACCUGGUGUAUAUGAGAUCAUGUAAGCCAGACGCCUCCACAAGAUCCCAAAACCACCUCAAAUCCUCCUCCGGCUUAGAAAGCUCUCUCACCUUUCUCCUUGAAUUUAUACUGCGAUACUUUUGAUCAUACCACAUCUGAAAAUCAAAUCAAUUAAGACAUUAUCAAUUAAGACCUUUCUCCAAGGCUCGACCUGAAUUAUUUUUAUUUUGAAUAAGUAGUUUAAGAAAUUGAUAUUGAAAGUUUGCUACUAUUUAUUUUUGAAUGAAAUGAUUAUAAUUAUUUUGAAUAGUUUAAUUAGCCUUGCAUUGGUUAGCAUAACAUUAUUUUUGUUGUACAACAAAAUAUAAUUUUGUUGCAUGUGGAUUAUCAAAAUUUCUUUUUUGUGUUAACUAUCCAGUUGAAUAAAAAUGUAAACAGGGUCUGAGUACGAAAAUGUUACACUCAGUAGAUAUUUUCUCACUUGAGUCAAAUAACAUGUUAUAAAUAAAAGAUAUUUUGUUAUUUAGUUAUAAAAACAAUUGACUUCAAUUAAUUUUUUUAUAAACUUGAUUUAGAAUCUGAAUUAAAUUUUAAUUACUAGUUAAGUCUUGUCAUUAAAAAAAUUUCUAAAGAAAAAAAGUCUUGUCAUUAAAAAUUGUUUUAAUAACUUGUAUGUAUGUUUUUUUUUUAAGGAAGAACCGUUUGUAUGUUAAGUACAAUGGAAUCCUGGUGUUAUUUUUUUUUUUAAGAGAUAGGAGACAGUCAUGUGGACUUAGGCAUUUGGUGGGUUCUCAAAUGUAUGAAUAAGGGAGGGGAUAGGAGAUAUGAGAUAUGAGAUAGAAGAUGCCCUUUCUAUUUGUUAUUCUAAUUUUUUUAAUUCUUUUAAUCAAAGAUAUUUAUGUAAAGCGAUUCAUAUUUUCUAUUUUCCAUCCAAUAUUAAUUAUAUUUCUUUAUUUUGUGUGAAAUUACUGACAAAUACUCUUAAAAUUGAUGGAUCGAGUAAUAUUUGGUGAAGAUUUGCUUUGCAAUAAUAAUUUUUUUGUCAAGUAGUUCCGUGGUAGAAUUUCACUUUUAAGGUGAAUAAGUGAGAAAUUAGAAGUUAGAACCUCAGUCCCUAACAUAUAUAUAUAUAUAUAUAUUUUUUAAAUCAGUCCCUAACAACUUAGCUAUGUCCACUUUGUAAUAAAUUUUUUAAUGAUUUUUUUUUUUUUUUUAUGGUGGCAGGGGUUCGAACCCCAGACCUUGCAUAUAUUAUGCAUUGUCCCUAAAAACUGAGUUAAACUCACGAUGACUUGGUUUGAAUAAUUGGCAUCGAGAAUUUAUCAAUUACAAUUAAUUACGUUACCCUUUUUGCUGAGUGGAAUUGAUUACGUUUCCCUCUGUUCAUAGCGUAGUUUCCAAAUCUUAUUCUACUGGUUUUAAUUUUCCAGCAGAGAUUAUUGAACUAGUUUUUGUUUUGCUGGGUUAUUACACUUGUAAUCAGUAAUCACAAAAUCAAAACUUUCUUAUUUAAAAUCCAAAUUUCAAUAAUGGCAUAAAAAUAAUACACGCUUAAAUAUAUACUUUCUUCUAAUACUACAAUUUACGUGCUAGGAUGCGAAAUCUACGUAAGUCUCUUUUGGAAAUUAGGCAAAAUAUACGUAAGAAUAUAUUCAGCUGCUAUAUAUAUAUACACAUAUCUGCAACAAACUUGUUUUUCAUUGUACUCUUUCUCUCUAUACCACUCACACAAACCUAAACCUAAACCUAAACCUUCUUUCAGGUCGAUUAACAAUGACUAAGGGAGACUGUGAUAAAAACCCAUCACACUCCUCCUCCACUGUUUCCAUCAAGCUAGAAACAACGGACUCUCCUCGCUCUGAUCAUUCAGAGUACUCGGAAUCUUCCUCCAUAGACAUCAUUGAUGAUGGUAUCAAUCGUCCAGGAUACUGCCGGCGUCCUUGGAGGUAUCAAUCUAGUAAUGUUGAAGAAAAAGGUUUAGGUUAUGAUAAUGGAGAUGAUAAAUGUAUUUGCUGGGGUUGUCAUGGAAUCUCUUCUUUCUGUUUUUAUUUCUCUGCUGUAUUUGCUGCGGUUGUCAUUCCCUUGUUGGUUAUUUGGGCUGUAAGUAGACAAAAACCUGACCUAUUCCUCGAGGUAUGAUAUUCUACUUUUCCUUGUUUGAAAUAUAUUUGUGUUUGAUGUAAUAUUACAUGUAUCUAAUAAUUUGGAAAUUAUAUUAUUUCAUGUAAUGUUUAGUAUUGUUUUUACUGCUUCUGUCAAAAAAAAGAAACAUUGUUUUUAUUGCUGGUUUUUGUUUUCAAAGCAAAAUACAAAUUAAGUGAAAUUUCACUUCUUUUUUUUCCCCAAUAAUUAUAUGUGACAUCCAAUCUUCUGUUUAGUUUUUAUUGUUAUUUGUUUUGUUUAUGAUGCAAAAUAUGCACAUUUACCUGAUGAAGUUUAAGGUCAAUUUUCUUCAAUAUAAGUGGUAUUCCUCCUUUGUUUCGUUUGUAUUAUAUUAAUUGUUGAUUUAAAAUUAAUCAUAUGAAUUUUAAAUUUGAUUUUUUGGUAGAAAAAUCAGAGAGGGAGAGAGACAAAUAGGGUUGUAUGGGAGUGUGCUCCUCCUCAAGGUCUCAAUACGAUUCUCUCCGAUGUCAAAUAGGGCUGGUUAAUUUAGGUUCUUAAAAAAAUAAAAAAAAAGAUAUGGCCGUCUCCGACAAUUCGGAGGUCAAGUUGUAAUCUUGACAAUUUUAAUUAUAAUAGUAUUGAAAAAUAAAUAAAUUCAACACCACCUAGAGUGACAAACAUUUACGCUCAUUAACCUACAGACAAUGUUUAAUUUACAGUAAAAUAGUUGAAUUAGUGACGGACUUUGUCCAUUGGUACACGUUUUUUUUUUCUUCCUUUUUUUUCAAAUUUUUUGGCCCCUUUAAGUUUGAGUCCCAUGUCACGGGCCUUGAUGCACUUGCACAAGACCAGCUCUGGUUGUAGGUAAGAAUGUCAACUUGAACUGCUUAAAGUUGGCGACAAACUUUUUGAAUUGUAAAGUUCAUAUUUUUCCUUUUAUUUAUCAUCUUGUGGUGGGGAAUAAUGUUUGGGAGGAAUCUACUUGGAGUUUUGGGGUUGGAUUGUUGUGAUUAAUUCCGAUUUUCUAUAUGCCUCUCUUUAAAAUGUCAAAGGGUGUGUGGAGAAAAAUUGGCAAGGGGUGGUGGAGUCCAAAAUUUGACGAGUCCAGUGGAAAAAAAUACGUAUGAAGGCUAUUUGAGGUUCAGGGGUAAAAUACUUAAGAAGUUUAUCUAACUUUGUUAUCUAAGUGGAGGUGGUUCCUCAUUUUAGAGGGAAUACCUCCAUCGAAAAUCUAAACCCUUGAAUGUUUUCUCUCUCUCUCUCUUGCUUUAAAUAUUAAAUAUGGUUAGGAUUUCACUAGAUCUCUCCAUUCACGGGAAAGAAUCCAUUCCUCAUUUUAGACAGGGAACCAUUUUGGAAGAAGAUUUUGGUUGCUAAAUACGAGGGGGUGUUGGUUUCCAUCGGCGCCUCUUGCUUGAAAUUGAACAGUGUAUCACUCUUUGUGGUGGAGGGACUUGAUUUAUGUGGGAAAAUGUAGUGUUUUACCCGGUGAUUGGUUUAACGAUAUAGUUAGGCAGAAGGUAGGGAAUGACGGGAGAACUAGUUUUUGGGAGCAUAUGUGGGUUGGAGAUACCUCUCUUCGACAUAUUUUCCCGAGGCUUUUUACUUUGUCGGAGAAAAAGGAAUGUUGCACUUAUCUCAAAUUGUACUUAUCCUUUUGUUUGUUUAAUUUUUGGCAGAGUAUAACAUUUGAUAGAUAUUCUAUUGAAGAGGGCAUCGAUCACUAUGGAUUUAACACUUCCAUGGUGACCACAAAUUCCUCUUUGAAACUGACUUUUACAAAUACUGCAACAUUUUCUGGAAUUCAUGUUACAUCAAUUCCAUUGGAGAUGAAAAAUUACAAUCAACUUCCAAUAGCCACCGGAAAUGUAAGUAUAAAUCUAUUUAUAUGUUUUUUAUUUGAACGACAAAUAUAUAAUUUUAUUCAUCCUAAAAAAAAAUUUAAUGUAAUUUUAUUCAAACCCUAAGGAGAAAAGUAGAAGAGUACAGUGCAUAUGUUUUUUUUCUUUAAUCUAUUUGAUCAUCAUCUACAAAUAUAUUAUGCUUAAAUAUGUUUUAAUCUUUAUAAAAUCACGAUCUUUUAAGUUUGGGUUAUGAAUAAUUUAAAUUCACUUUAGUCUUUAUAUUUUUAAGAUUAUAUUUUUGCAGAUACCUAAUUUUUAUCAACGAAGAAAAAGUGCGAGAUCUAUUGACGUGAAGGUUGAAGGAAGUCAAAUUCCAGUGCAUAUAGCACCAGAUGAUUAUGUUUUAGGUGAAUCAAUACCUUUGACAUUGAACAUGAUAGUGAAUUCAAAGGCUAAUGUGUUAUGGAUAUUGGUGACACACAAGUUCAACAUGAAUAUAGAGUGUUCUUUAUAUAUGGAUACAAAGAAGAUGGGUGUGCCCAUUCCUCUAACCAAUACAUGCAAAACUUUCGAUUAGUAAUUAAUGUCUCCCUCAUGAAUAUUGAUGGUAUAAUUUCCUUUUUGUUUUUUUAAAGCAUUUUAUUGAAUUAUGAUGGUAUUUGCUAUCCACGGUUAUAGUAUUAGAAUAAAUAUGACUUUGAUACAUUAAUAGAAGUGGUUUAUUUGCUAACUUUCAGGUUGUAAGGUAUUGAAUUUGUAUUGAGGUUGCGUUGAGAAUUUGAUAUGCUUUGUUUGUAUUUGUCAUAUUUUGUGCCGUUUUCUCUUUUUUAAUAAAAUUUUAUUUGGGUUUUAAAAAAAAAGAAAAAGAAAAGACUUAUGAUUUUGAUAAUAUUUAAAUUUUCCUUAAAUUUUAAAGGGUCUUGUUAAAACUGAUUUGAUGUUAAUGUAUCAUAGAGGGCUUGCCACUUUCAAAUAUGCAAAUGUAGUCGGGUUAAUCUAUGUUGCACUGUUUGACUCAUUUAUUAAGCUUUGUUUCGUUCAAACGAGUGGAGGGGAGGAUAGGGAUUUUAAGGAAGGAGAAUAAUUUAAGUAAAUCAAGCUUUCGAUCCUUCAUUUAUUGCUUGUUACUGAGUUUGAAAACGAUAAGAUUAUAUUAGAAAACAGAACUUAAACAAAAUAGAUAUUUAGACUUGGUUUGAAUAGGAUUAAGUCAUUAGAGAUUAGACUAUUCCAACAAUCACAAAACUAAAAGGUCUACUCACUCAUGAUCAUAGUAGACAAAAGAUUAAAGUCGAAAAACAUAGAAAUAAAUUUCAUAAUUGUAAAUGACUGAAUGUAAAUUGCAGAAUAUAUAAAGAACAAGAUUGUAAAGUGCAGAAAAAGCAAUAAUAAACUUAGAGCAAAGUAACUUUGUUUCAAUAGUAAACAUGUUUCCAAUGAUCCAAGAUGAUUUGCAGUCUAAUAAUGAACCUAUUUAUAGUCUAAGGGUCAUAGACAAUGCAUUGAAGGUCAAUUACAAGCUUUAAAAUGGGGAAAACAAAGAGUUUUUUAACAGCCAAAAGCUAACAGCAAAAACGCACGGUCUGCGCUUUAGAUCGUGCAUUUUUCAACUUCCAGCAUGCAGGGCGUGCACGACCCCCAGCAAGCUCACACGCCAAAAUGCAUAGUCAUGCUCUAAAGUGCACGACCCGUGCCAAAGUUGCUGAAAUAUUCUUCUUUGAUGCGCACGUUCUGCUUGUUUGGGCCCCAAAACGCACGGUCCUAUGAUAAAAACGCAUAGACCGUGCUCUUGUUUAUGUUUUGUUCCUUUUCUUCAUGCCUUUUCUUUCUUUUCUUGCCCAAACUUCAACCAAACCAUCUUGUUUCUUUGAUAUUCAACCUGAAAUGAAACUAUAGUGUCUGUAGCAAAAUAGCUCAAGAAAUACGACCAAAACCAACAAAAUUUUAUUGAAUUAAAAUGCCAAAAACAAUAAAAACUACGGCUUAUCAAGUUUCAUAAUUUAUAUUAGUAAUAAAAUAUGUAAUUCAUUUGUUAUAAAAAAAUAAAAAAUAGUUUCAUAAUUUAUAUUUGUGUAGUAAAAUAUGUAAUUCAUUUUUUUAAAGUAUCCAUUCGAGCUUUUUAAUCAAACUUUGCAAUUUCAACUUUAUGUUUAAUUAUUACAACUUUAUUUUUUUUGUUAUUAUAUAUAGUCUAUUUUGGUGGACCACGUGAGUUUUUAUGUUUUUGGUUCCGCCGUUGGUUGUUGUCACGUGACCGAAAAGUCGGGUUCAAGUCCUAGAAAUAGUCUUUUGUAUAAAAACUAGGGUAGGGUUGCAUACAAUAUAUCAAAAUGGUAAGACUCCUUCCCUAAGAAAGGCCCAACUUGGCCGAAUAGUUGCAUGCAUGUGAUAUUAAAUGUGUGGUGUUAUAAAGUAAUUUUCUACGUGAAUAAUAUGAUACCUAUAUGUGACUAUUAUUUGACAGGACUUAUCACCUCAUUUAAUAUAUAUUAAGAUUAUCUAGUAAUUGCGGUUGAGUCGGUUGAAACAAUAAUGUUGCCCAAGUAACCUCUGUUGCGUAGAUUCGACUCAAUUAAAGUUACAAAAGAUAGUGUGUAAUUAUUUAUGCGAGUUGUCGUCGGCCCCAAGGAAGGCACAACUUGGCCGAAUAGUUACAUACCUGUGAUGGUAAAUAUGUGGUGAUUAUAACGUAAUUAUCCAUGUGGAUAAUAGGAUGCCCAAACGUGACUAUUAUUUCACAGGACUUAUCACCAAUAUUUGAUCAUUACAUUGAGAGUAUCGCUUGCAGUUAAUUCUUAGCAAUCCGAAGAUUAUGUUUUAAUGGUGCGCUUGGUAUCUUGUUAAGGUCUUUUAUUUACAAAUAAAGAAGCACAUUUCUUUAAUAUUUUACUAACAUGUGUGAUGAUGUUGUGUUAGUGUAAACUUAUUUAAAUAUUUAAGAGUUUACAUUCACAUAUAUAAUGAUAAACAUAUGACAAUUAUAAGAAAUUAUUCUUUGUCAAAGUAAAUUGUCAUUGUUUGGUCAUUGUUGUAAAAUACCACUAGCAAUUGAUAUUAUCGUUUAAAGACUUGAUAUUGAUGAUGCACUAGGUAUUUUGGUGAGUAUAUUUGCCUACUCUUGUUCUCUUUAAGCUAAUAUAAUUGUGUAUCUACUAAUUUGAGUUAAAUUUUUAACUCUUAAAAUUCUAAUUUUUAGGAUUUAAAGAAGAACAUUGAUAUUGUUCUUGGAUCUAGACUUUAGAUAAGGAUGGUGAAACUCACAUUCUCUCACAAAUUCAGUACCUAAUGUGAGAAUCAAGUUUGACAAGUGAGUAUACCCCAAAUUUCAUAGGUCAAGUGUGAUCAUAAAGCUAAAAUAUCAUAUAUAUUAGAGGUGUUGUUUAAGAUGACUAUUUUUUUUGUCAUAUUUCCUUUGCUUAAACUAAGGUACUAUUGAAGCAAUACAAAGAAAGACAAACUCUCAUUGGAGAGUGAGUAUUCUAUUAAGAUUAUUAGGUCAAGAAAAUGUAAGAAGCACAUUAUGUAAAUAUUUAAUCUUGCUAAGACAGUAUAAUUUCGACUAUCUAUCACUUGUUCGAAAAUUCAGUAAUUUCGACUAGCAUAUGACUUGUUCGACAAUUCAGUAUUUAAUAUUCUCUUUGCACAAUUAAGUUUAUAACUGUUACAAUUAGAAAUGAUCAUUUAAAUGAUCAAUUCAUAAAGUGUGCGAAUAAGGAAACAUUGAAGCAAGAGAAAAUAAAAUAGUGCUCAUUCGGAAAAUACCUCGAAAGAUAAGGGCAAAUGAAGAAUGGUAAUCUUGACUGACUUAUGUCCAAUGAUGUUGAAAGAUAUGUCAAUUAAAAAUGGACAAAGUCGAUAAAGAUUUCAUUAUUCAUUUUUAAACCAAUUUUAGAUUGUCGUUACUAUCAUUUUUUUUUUUAUUUAAAAGAUAAUUUGGUGAAUCAUUUAUUUGAAUUAAUUUUUGUUUUAAUUUCUCUUUGAUGAAAUCAAUAUAUUUUGAGUUUUAUUUUCAAAUGAUGAUUCCAUAUGUCUUUUAAGUUCAAUUAUUAGAGUCAAUUUAGUUAUGACUUGUGACAUUCAAUAUUGUUUAAGGUUUUGAAAACUAUAAGUUUUUCGUCCCACAAAUUAAGGAAACUUUGAGACAUAAAUUGUUAAGUUUUCUUGAGGAUAUUGAGUUAGGUUAAUCUCUCUAGCUUAGGCUUCAAUUUUGCUCCUAGCUCUUCUCCCAACCCUUGAUUCUUCAAGUCCUAUUCUCUCUACCAUUUUCUCCUCUUGCUCCCACUUUCUCUCUGUUCUCUCAAAAGUAUCUUAUGAAGCGAAAGUGUGAGGAAAUUUCUCACAAUAGUAGGUUUUUAUACCAAGUCCCCUUAAUGGGCCUAACUCUCAAACUUAAUGGACUUAACCCAUUUCUAUUCACAUCUCAAAUGUUUCUACACUCUAACCGGUAAUUCAUUAGUAAUGUUAAAUAUCACUAUCGAUCACUAAACGGUAAUAUCUUAAUUUUACUCUAGUAACUUAGUAAAACAACUAUUCUCACUAGCCACUAAAAGUAACUUUCACCAAAACUUAUAAUUUUACUUGUUCUCACAAAAUGACCAAAAUACUCCGAAGUCCAAAAUGACUAAAAUACCCUUCUAACACAGAAACCAUGAAAGUGCAUCCAAUGAUGAAUAAUCACACACAAGCACAUAUAAACACACAAUAAAAGUAAUUAAAAUAAAUCUAGCUAAAAAUCGGGUUGUUACAAUAAGCCCUCAACAAAUUAUGAGUAUGCAAUGGACUCAACUUUGUGUAUAUCAACAUACAACCUCAUCUACAACAACGACAACAUGGACAACAACAACUACUACCCAACAGUGCAUAUUUAAAUAUGACGUACAUCUCAACAUGGUCAACUUGUGACACAACAACUUUUGACAAUGACAUUCAACAACUUGUACAGUCCUCUCUAUAAACAUCCAGGCACACAAAACCAUCCAACCCACAUCCUAUAACAACAUUUUAAAAAAUCAUGAUUUCUCCCUCAGGUACUCGCGAUGGCGAGCGGUCUUGCUCGCGAGGCGAGCGAUGGUUUGGCUUAUUCGCCAGGCGAGUCAGCUUACUUGCCAUGGCGAGUUGAGUCAGGUCAGACUACGUGAAUUCUGCAGUUUUUAACCAAAAGUCCCAAUUUUCCCCAAUUCAAUCCCCAAAACUGAUUACAGAAGUGUUGUAAGUUUCUGCCUAUGACCUGAACACAUUCUAACACAAUUGUCAUGGUUUCUACACUCUUCAAUUCAAAAAUUAAUAUUCAAAACCUAAUCCCAAUUUCCAAAUUUAACCAGAACCCUUGCUAAAACAAAAUCAGAAUUAUACAGACUAUAAUCAUUGAGAGUUAGUCUCACCCUUACCUUAGAUUGAUGAACAAAACUCUACAGAAUCAGAUUCUCCCCACUUGGCUCUUCUCUUAGUUUUUCUCCCAAAACUCUAUUGUACAUGAAAACUGCUUCUAACUUCUAUUUUCUAAUUUUCUCAGUAAAUAUAACUUCCCAAUAUCUAAUUAACUCCCACUUAAUUCACUUAAUUAUUAUUUAACCCCAAAACUCCAAAUAAAUUCUAAUUCUCACUUAUUCUAUUAAAUAAUAAAAAUAAUCAUUUAAUAAAAUACACCACACCAUAAAAUCAACAUAAAUCAUUUAAAAUCAUAUAAAAGACUUUAAAUCAACCAAAAAUAAUUAAAUAACAACUAGGGUGUUACACUCUCUCUUCUCCCCAUCUGAAGAGAACUUGAGGCAUAAAGGUACCGGUUGAGGAAGAACCAAAUCAGCCGCCGCUAACUCUAUUGUGUGUUUCAGAUNNNNNNNNNNNNNNNNNNNNNNNNNNNNNNNNNNNNNNNNNNNNNNNNNNNNNNNNNNNNNNNNNNNNNNNNNNNNNNNNNNNNNNNNNNNNNNNNNNNNCAUCAACUAUCACAUAUAGUUUCACCAUUCAAGCAUUCCUUACAUUCUAAGUAAGAUAGCAUACACAUCUCAUGAUAAAUAUCAUAUCCAAAACAAACAUUCAUUCAUACAACUUCACUUAGUCAUAUAAGAAUAGUCACCAUAAAUCAUAAGACAAUUGACUCAAGAACAUUUCCGACAAAAAUCCAAAUCAUGUGGCAAACGGCCAACAUUGACAAUUUUUCAAAGCUAGGCAACUUAUUCAAGUUUGAAAUCCUACAAUUCAAUCUUAAUCAAUCAUAUAAGUAUGAGCAUAGGCCACUUACGAACUAUCAAUCAUUAGUUCAAAGAUUAGCCUAAGUUCGUAUGAGAAAAUCUCAAGUUCACAUUUUUCACAUUCCCACCCGAAAUCCAAGUUUAACAUGAUUAAGACAUUGUACCAACUUUACAAGCAUUGUCUAAGCCCAUAUGAACUGUAGACCAAGCUUGCAACCCUUUUUGUUCACAAAAUUCCAAGUUUCGACAAUUUCCGAAAAACCGAAACGACACAAUCUCAAGUUUCAAACCAUUUGGAAAAUUGAAGUUUCGACAAAGUCGAAGGUGUUCCCGUAGAAAAGUAAGUGAAAACAGCAAAAGAACACUUCAAAACGAUUGCCUAGGACCCCUACACGACCACCCCCAAGCACCCGGACACGGAGCAACAAGCAUGUUGCCCUGUCCAGGGCGCCCAGCGCUGGCUUACUGACUUUUGGGCGCCUAGCGCCCUUGUUCAGGCGCAGCGCUCCGUAAACGCGCGUUUUCGCGAGUUUCGGCCGCGGGUUUUCACCAAUUUCGACCAAAAAUCGAAUGUUUAAAGUCCUCAAUCAUCAAAAGUGAUCCGAGACAUAACCCGAGGCUCUAACACAUCGAACUCGCUCGUUUCGUGGCAUUUGUACAAGUUAUGAAAUUUUUUAAAUGAUUUUCUCAAAACAAUAAGUCUUCAACAACAACAACGAUUCAUUUCUUCCAAUUCAACACAAUUCACAACAACAUCUCAACAUAAUUCAUACCCAAGUCAUGCAAUGAGAUUAUCAUCAACAAUUAACCACAACCACAACUUAUGAUCAUUCAUUCCAUCAUAUUUCAACAACAACAUGUCGUAAUUCACCAAUUUCACAAAACCACCAACAACAAUCCAUUUCUCAACAACAAAUCAUGAAUAUGCAUACCCAAACAAUGAUUCAUCAACCACAACAUCAAUUAACAGCCAUAACAUCAAUUGAACAAGAAUCAUAACUCAAUCCAACCACAACUUAGCAAAAUUCACCAAUUGAGCACAAUUUUCACAACUUAUCAUUUGUUCCUAUUUGAACAUGUAAUUUCACCAUCAAUCAUACAAUUAUCAUCAAUUCAUGCAUACAAACAUAUCAUCACAGUUGGAGCACGAAUUUAGCAACAAUUAUUCAUAAUCAAAAUUCAUACAACAUUUGAAAAUUUCACAAAAUGAUGAUGAUUAUGAUGAAGACUAACCCCCUUACCUUAGAUGAAGAGUAAUCCCUACUUAGGCUUCAAUUUAGCUCCUAAGCUCACUCCAAUCCUCAAUUCUUCAAGUUCUUCUCUCUAACCCUUUUUCUUCUCUUCACCACUUUCUCUCUUUACCUCUCUCAAAUAUCUAUGAAAUGAAAUGAAUGAGGUUUUUCUCUAAGACAAGUGUUUUGUGGUAUAUCCCUCUAAUGGGCCUAACCCAAAACCUAAUGGACUUAACCCAUUUGCUAUCCAAAUCAAAAUGUUUCUACACUCCAAAAGGUAAUUAACUAAUAACGGUAAAAUGUCACUAAUGAUCACUAAACGGUAAAAUAUCAAUUUACUCUAGUAACUAAAUGAAAUAACUAUUCUCACUAAUCACUAAAAGUAAUUCCCACCAAAAAUUAUAAUUUUUACCCGUUCUCACAAAAUGACCAAAAUACCCUUAAGUCUAAAAGACUAAAAUACCCUUCUAACACGGAAACCCAUGAAAAUGCACCCAAUGAUGAAUAAUCAAACACAAACACAUAAUAAAAGUAAUUAAAAUAAAUCUAGCUAAAAAUCGGGUUGUUACAGAUGUGGUUGCUGCCUUCUUGGAGUUUGCUCUGCAUGUCAUUCCCCAGCAGCAGCGGGAUGGUCAGGUCUCGGAGGACGAGCCUUGGAAGCAUUCAGGAGCGUACAUUAGGUGGUUCUACCGUGUAUCCCAUCCUCUCAUCGUCAACCCUGCUCUAGAGCCUGACAUUGUCAUGCCGAGACCUAUGUACCAGGAUAUUCUUGUUGACCAGUAGUGGGCUAGACAUCCUCCCGAUCCAUUCCAGAUCAUCAGCAGCAUUAGAAGCAUAGUGUAGCAUGCGAUGCACAUUCGAGAGGUGGUUUCAAAUCUACUAUUCUUCAGCAUCUUGGAAGGCCUCCAGACCGAUUACAGCGUGUUUGACGAUCAGCAGGUUCCAAGGAAGAGGUCUAGGAGUCAUAGUCCGCAGGAGCAGCAGCAGUAGGGUCUUAAUUUAUGACUUGUUUUUUUUAUGACUUUUUGGAUGUUUGUAGUAUUUUCCUGACAUUUUGGUUGUACUACUUUUACAUUUGCACGGUUGGACUUAUUUAUGACAUUUACGUUAUUUUUCAUUAAAAUUGUGUUUCUAAAAUUAUUCGUUCUCUAAAUUAUGAGUUCUGGUUGAAUCAAUGAAUGAUUGUAUCAAAAUUAUUAUCGAAUAAUUGCAUGUUCACUAAACAGGGAAUGAAGGAACAAAGGCAACAGCUACUGCCACUGCCAUUGCCAGUCUGGUCUGCAGCGUGCAUAGCAGAAGCAUCAGCGUGAGUUAACUCCCGCUAGUCUUAAAACUAGCGUGACUUAACUCACGCUGCUCAUUGUAGGUUUUGGUGCAUGCUUUAUACCAGAUUCAGAACUAGCGUGACUUAAGUCAAGUAACGUGAUUUAAGUUACGUUUCAUUUUGCACUAGCGUGACUUAAGUCACGCUACCUGUCUUAAGUCACGUUCCAAUUGGCACUAGCACAUGUAGGGGUGGGCAUGGUUCGGUUAACCAUAUUAAUCGAACUGAACCGAACCGUUAAAAGUUUGGAAAUAACCAAACUGAACCAAAGUUAUGGUUCGGUUAACCAUUUGUUUACCUAUUAACCAAAUCGAUCCGAACCAAAACAAAUAUUUUUUAUCCAAUAAAUAAAACCACUUUUAUUAAAAAAAAAUAACAAAUUCAAAUUAAAAGCUAGAAUAGUUUAUUUCUUAAAAACAAAUUAUCUUAUGCAAAUUAACUUAUUACGAUCGAUUUUUUUUAUAUAAAAAAUAGCUUAUUCAAAACAACUUAUUUUAUGCAAAACUUCUUAUUCAACACAAAUUAUUUUCAAACAACUUAUUAGGAUCUCAUUUUUCAAAAUAACGUAUUCGAAACAGCUUAUUUAUGCAAAACAACUUAUUAGGAUCUCUUUUUUCGAAAUAACUUAUUCAAAACAGCUUAUUUAUGCAAAACAGCCUAUUAGGAUCUCUUUUUUCAAAACAACUUAUGCAAAACAGCCUAUUAGGAUCUCUUUUCAAAACAACUUAUUCAAAACAGCUUAUAUAUGCAAAACAGCUUAUUAGGAUCUCUUUAUUCAAAACAGCUUAUUUAUACAAAACAGCUUAUUAGGAUCUCUUUUUUCAAAAUAACUUAUUCAAAACAGCUUAUUUAUGCAAAACAGAUAAUUAGGAUCUCUUUUUUCAAAAUAACUUAUUCAAAACAGCUUUUUUGCAUAAAUAAGUUGUUUUUAUUGCGUUAAUGUUUGAAAAAAGACCCUUCAUAAUUUUUCAUAAGUUAUUUUUAGAAUAAUUCUUCGAAUCGGUUAUCUUAACGACCUCCCUCAAACCUAGCCCUCAAUGCUCUCUUGAGGUUAUCUUUAGUAUGCAACUCCAGUCUUUCCACAAAUUAAACCAAUGCAUGGCUCCUUCCACGAAAUAAGUUUAUUGACGCGUAGUCCAUGCUACUGGAUUGUCAACAUCGAAUGAUGGAAGCUCGAAUUACUUGACUGAAAGGUAACAUUCAUCUAAAGUGGGCGAGGUCCUCUCCUACAAGUUGUGCUUCUCAUUAAUCAAUGAAUCUCGAUGCAAGAGUGAGAAAAGAGAGCGAAUAAAGUGAGAAAACUAUCUAUACAAAACUUCAAUAUAAAAAACCCUGAUGCAAGGCUCCUUAAAAUUAGAAACCAUUUUCUUCCUGCUUACCACUAUACCUUAUGCAAUAUCCUAACUAUCCAUGCAUCCUUCCUAUUAUUUAUCGAUUGAUUUAGAUACCAAAGUUUUAAAGUACACUACAAGAAAACUACGUUUUAGCGUCGGCUAGAAACCCACUCUAACAGGGCAAAAACUGACGCUAAAAUUGAUUUAGCGUCGGGGUCGGGGGCAGGCUAAUAAACUCGAAGUUACUGUGUAGUGUCCGCUCUUUGGACUCCGAGGCUACUGUAGAGUCGAAAAUGCCGAGUAUAAUCCGACUCUACAUUGAGCCGAGGCUAAAAAUUUCAUCAUCUAAAAAGUCAAACUAGUCAUGUAGAGUCAGCCAAACCGACGCUAAAUUAUUCACUUAGAGUUGGAUUAGCAAACUCUAUAGUCAACAUUUAAGUAGUCAACAAAAUUUUCAGUAAUGAGUGAUUCAGCGACUUUCGCAAAUGUGUCUCUAAAUCAACCAUAAACUUAUUGCUAGUGGCUUUUCUAAUAAUAAUGUGAUCACUCUUGUAUUUAUAACUUACAAGUUUAUGUCCUAUAUACAUAAGACUCAUGUGGUCUAUAUCAUUUCUUUUUUCUCUUAAAAUCAUUUUAAAUUUGAAAUAUGAUAUCGCUAGAAUUUAUAAUUUAUACUAAUGUUUUGAAUAUUCCUUAAUAAGCUGGUUUGAAUAAGUUAUUUUGAUAAAGGAGAUCCUAAUAAGCUUUUUUGCAUAAAUAAGUUGUUUUGAAUAAGUUAUUUUGAAAAAAGAGAUCCUAAUAAGCUGUUUUGUAUAAAUAAGCUGUUUUGAAUAAGUUAUUUUGAAAAAAGAGAUCCUAAUAAGUUGUUUUGCAUAAAUAAGUUGUUUUGAAUAUAAAAAAGAGAUCCUAAUAAGUUUUUUUUGGAUAAAUAAGCUGGUUUGAAUAAGUUAUUUUGAAAAAAGAGAUCCUAAUAAGAUGUUUUGCAUAAAUAAGCUGUUUUGAAUAAGUUAUUUUGAAAAAAGAUAUCAUAAUAAGUUGUUUUGCAUAAAUAAGCUAUUUUGAAAAAGAGAUCCUAAUAAGUUGUUUUGAAUAAGGUGUUUUGAAAAAAGAGAUCCUAAUAAGUUGUAUUGCAUAAAUAAGUUGUUUUGAAUAUAAAAAAUAGAUCCUAAUAAGUUUUUUUGCAUAAAUAAGCUGGUUUGAAUAGGUUAUUUUGAAAAAAGAUAUCCUAAUAAGCUGUUUUGCAUAAAUAAGCUGUUUUGAAUAAGUAAUUUUGAAAAAAGAGAUCCUAAUAAGUUGUUUCGCAUAAAUAAGCUGUUUUGAAUAAGUUGUUUUGAAAAAUAGAGAUCCUAAUAAGUUGUUUUACAUAAAUAAGCUGUUUUGAAUAAGUUAUUUUGAAAAAAGAUAUCAUAAUAAGUUGUUUUCCAUAAAUAAGGUGUUUUGAAUAAGUUGAUUUUAAAAUAUGUUUUUGCAUAAAAUAAGUUAUUUUAAAAUAAGUUGUUUUUUAAAAUAAGUUGUUUUUAAAUAGAUAUGCUUAAUGGUUCGGUUUGGUUCGGUUCGGAUAAUUGUGGUUACUAACGGUUCAGUUCGGUUAGUGAAUUGUUAUCCAAAUAAUGGUUCGGUUCGAGAAAUGGUUAAAUGGUUCAGUUAAUUUUGAUAUGGUUCAGUUCGGUUAACCGGUUCAAAUUGGGUUUUGGUUAUUUUUGCCUACCCCUAAGCACAUGUUAAGUUGCUUAAGGGUAAAAUGAUCUUUUACUUUGGGAAUGAGCGAAACCAUUUGGGUAAUGAGCAGAAUUUGGAGAACCUCAUGGCUUAAGUACCACAUUAAGCACUUUGAUCUACUCGAUGUGAGAUUUCUAACUUGCCACGCCCUUUAAAAGCUGACGUCCACGACGGCUUUCACUCUAUCUGCACUGACCCGAUGGUAGCCCUUUCUUUUUUGACGGCUUCACUCACCUAUCAGUAUUCGAUGGAACACCUUAAUCCAGUCUAUAGGUAGCCCUUUCGGUGGUCCAACUUUCAACGAGAGCACCAAUUGUUGGGACUUAAGCAUAAGAGAAGAGCCCAACAAUUAUACUUUUAAAUCAAACAUGCCGGCUCAGGCAUAUCGUAUUUUAUGUUUGUUAGGCCGGCAAUGUAAAUUAUGAUAUUUUAUACAAUCAAUCAUUCACCAACUACCACAACCUACGUCUUUGUAUUAAACCUUUUAUUUUUAUAUGCUGAUGUUUCCUAAUAAGUAAAUAAAUCAAUUUAAGAAUAUAUAAUUACCAAGACGUGUAUUGAGAAUACCAAAUAAUUGCAAUGCAUUUGAUCACAUCUAGUGAGAUAACUGUGACCAAAUAAUUUUAUGAAUAGCUUCUAUUUACCUUAAGAAAUGAUGACUUAUAAGUGUCUGCUAAAUUCUUUAAUUGCUAAGUUUUCACAGUAUACAGCUAAUAUAUAUGUUAACGACUUUGCAAAUUAAAGGUAGACUCAAGAAGACUUAUUUGUUGUGUAAGAAACAAAAUUUGAAAGCUGGAAAGCAUAGCUCAUAAAUGGUUAAUGAACCCACAUAGGGAAAAGAGUAAACACCGUCCAAUUAAAAAUUGCCAUUGGCAUUUGUGGACUUAAAUAAACAAAUGAAAGAAUAAGAAUAAGAGCAAAAAUUUGAAAAGAAAGACGAAUUUGUAUUUGGUGUCAUCAAUAGUUUAUAUAUAUAUAGUAAGGUUUUGUAUGCCACGUAUUAUUUCCACGUUCAUUCUCAAUGAUUUUAUUAUUUUUUUAAUUUUUUAAAAUUAAUAUUUUAUUUCGCAUAAAUAUCUCAACAAACUUUUGAUCUUAUCCACUCAAUAUUUUAUUUAAAUUUUUAUUGAAUUUCUAAUAUUCUAAGUGUCAGAAAUAUCUCAAUAAACUACAUAUAAUACUUUCAAAAAAAGUUUACACAUAUGAUUUUAUUUUAUAAUUAAAAGGCUCCAGUUGGUUUUUUUUUUUUUUUUAGGAAAAGAAACUUCAAUUAGUUACUAAGUAAUCUUUUAGCAGUGUAUCAUUCAAUUAGUUUUUCUACUUUAACGCUACAUAACCAUAUUCAACAAAUGUUCACAGGAAUCAGGAUCGUCUGCGGCAGGAUGAAGAGGACGACGUUCUAGGCCCCAAAUAAAAAGUCCAAAAUUUAGGAGAUACUUUAUGUAACUGUAUUCAACAAGUGCUCACAGGAAUAAUAAUUAAAAACAUAUUGUUCUUAUUCAUUCUAAAGUUUGUUUCUAAACCCAAGAAGAUGAAGAAAAAAAAAGGAUAGGAUUUCAAAAAUAUUAUAGAAAAGUCUCAAACUAGCAAAUUAUAGCAAAUGACUCAUGGAAUUACAUCAAUCUUUACUAUGCUACUCAAACAAGUUAACAAUAAUUAGAACCAAGAAGAACAUGUAUUCAACUUAUUCCAUUUAUUUACGCUUCAUGUUGCAUAUGCUAACAAAGCAGUGGAACAGAAGCUUUUAAACAGUAUACACAUUAAGAAUAUUACAAAUCCUACAAUAUUGCACUCUGCCUGAUUGGCUCAUGUAGACUGCAUGAAGUAAAUCCAAUCUAAAACAAGUUUACAAGAAGAAUCAUGACAAGCUAUGAAGCACGGACACUCCUUGGAUAAGGCGUGUCUCCGUGUCAGACACGUCUCGUGUCCGACACCGACACAUAUAAUUACACUGCAUUUUGUGAUUUUCUAAAAAAUUUAACUGUGUCGGUGUCCGUGUCCGUAUCCGUGCUUCAUAGAUGACAAGAAUAACAUUCCCCACUUUUGUCUUCAAUUCAACAAGCGGGCUGAUUUUCAUCCACUUAGGCCUUGAUCUCCUGGAAAUAUCAAAAAAGCAUUUUAUGAUUUCUUGAGGAAAAAUGUAGCAGUUGAAUUUCGUUCAACAAAUGUGUAUAAGAUUUGAUCAUGUGCAAUCCUUACAUAGUUUAGCUUACAAUGAUAAAGAACUAAAAAUAAUAAAUAAUAGAUACUUUUAUAAGCCCAAAAAUAACAAGAAACCAGUUUUCCAAAAUGACUUAUAAAGUUCUAUAGAAAAGUAUCAAACUAACCAACAUACAACAAGUGACUAUAGGAAUAAUAGUUUCAGCAAAAAGUAUGCUGCUACAAUAAUGACAUUUAGCAACACUUGAAAAUUGUAACUAAAUCAAGAAAAAUGUUACUAAUUAAAUUUAGCAACACUUGAACAAUUGUUAGGUAAAGCCCGUGUUACUAAAGUGUUUUAGUUACAUUUUAUAGUACUAUCUGUAACAAUCAAAAAGUGUCGCAAAUGGUACCUUAUUGUAACACUUUUUGUAUCACUUGUAACAAUAAAAAAGUGUUACAUUUAUAAUUUUUGAGGAGUUGUAAAAAGUGUCGCAAAAUUGUCUAAACUAAUUUUUUUUAAUUUACUAAAUUUGUCUUUGCUUAGACUUCAUUCAUAUUUGAAUUAACCAAUAUUAGAUACAAGUUUUAAUAACUAGUUUGAAUUACAUACUCUAUAAAAGUUCCCCUCUUCUCUGUUCUUAUUCUUGCAUGACGAAAAUAAACUAUGCAACACAAUUUAAACUAUACAACACAAUUUGAAUUACAUACAAAAAUGAUUACAAUUAAGUUUUCAUCCAACACAAUUUCCCCUUCUCUUUAAGGUCAUCAAGCUGCACAUGAGAAAUGCAAGCCUUCUCUUUAAUCUCCUUUGUCUUGUGCCGUUGCUUAUCCGCAAUCAUCUUCAUAAUGUUCUGCCUGCAAGAUUGCAGAAUUUGGUGGCUAUCAUAGAUUCAGUGGAGGAUGUCUUCAUAGUGGCCACUAAUCUUAAGGUGUCACAUGAAUAACAAUUCAAUUCUAGUCAGCCUAUUCAAUCAAACACACCAAAAGAAUAAGCAAAGAUAAUUCAUAAAAUAAGAAUAUUAUUAGAAAUUGAGUUCAAUAACACAAAAUCAAUUAAAUUUGGGAUAAACAUAGUACCUUUUUUCUUAAGUUUCUCAUGUUUUGCCUUGCGCUUAGCUGCUUUAUCCAAAUAAUGUUGUUUAUCCUGAUUAAAUAAUAUAAUCAAUUUUAAAAGACAAAUCUUACUUAAGUUGAUCAUAUUGCAUUGCAUGUGUUGUUAUAUACUAGAGAACUUACUUCAUUACUCAUGGAGUUCCAUGCUUUAAUAGCCAUUUUAUUAACACCAGAAUUUUGAUCUACUUCUUUAAAAUUUUUGCCAAACUUAUCCCUGAAAUAUACAUUUUUAACUUAAUAAUAAAUAACGCAAAACUAAAAAAUAUAUUAAACAAAGAAGAUUUACCAUAAGAGAGAAAAAGAACUCGGCGGAUUCUCAAGCAUAUCAUGAUCCUUCUCAACUUUGAUUUUUUUGGCCUUGUGUUCUUUUGGCUUGCUAUAUAAUUUUAAAAUGAAAAUUAAUAUGUCUUUCCUAAAAUUUUCCACUAUAAAGUAAAAAAAGUAAUGAUGUGGAGCGAACUUACCUCUUUGUGUGUUUCUUCGGUUUAACUUCAGCUAGAUUGUCCAAAGUUAGAAUAUCUACAAUAUGCCAAAAAAAAUUACAACAGUAGAGAUGAUGUGUCUCGCUUUUCAUCCGUAAUGUAUUAAUACAAUCACAAACAACCUUUAAACAAAGAUAAGAAAGGUAGAACAAUCCUCAAGAGUAUAAAGAGCAUGUGAGUGAGUACAAUAAAAAUAUGGUUCUGUUCUGCUGAAUUGAGUGUGUGUUGACAUAGAGAUGGCGAAGAGAAAACACAUAACAACCGUAUUUGAUUAUUAUUAUUGUUGUCGUAGAGUUUUAAAAAUAUGUUUCUAUUCUACAUUUCUUCUACAUAACUGUGCUCGUGAUUUUCGGAUAUCAAACCAUUAAUUGAUUUUGAAUCGUCAAUCUUUGAACUCUCGAUUUUUAUUCGUGGGAAGGGAAAAAAUGAGUAAAAACCCUUAAGACUUUGGAUUCGGGGGUUGGUUAUGCAAAGGAAAGGUGCUAGCACCCUAAGCGUCUACGGUAUUCCGUAGGAACCUCUUACCUAGAUUAUCUUGUGCUAAAUUGAUUUGCUUAUUUGAAAAUUAUUACUUAAGAAUCUAAAUGAAAGAAUGGAGGGAGAAGAAGUAUGUUUUUUGAUUAUUUUUAUUUGAUUUGGAAGGACAAGUGUCUUCUGCCUAUGUACCCGUGAGGGAUCAAAACCUCGUAGUUCGGGGUAGAAAUUGACGUUUGAUUGGUUUUGUGUUUUUUAUAUGUUUUGAAAAAAGGUUUUAUAAUGAAAAGACAAAUGGCAAAUGAGAAUGUGUUUGUGUUUUUUAUAUUGAAAAACAAUAGACUCAAAGUAGAAUUAAGUUGAUUGAAAAUUUGAUUAAGAAAAAUAAAAUAAAAAAGACGGUUACUUGAUUGAAAGUCAAGGUUUGUUAUAAAAAUAUUUUUUUGUGAUUUUUUGGUAUUUGAAUGUUUUUGCCGUUUUUGAAUAAUGAAUGAAAAUUAAACUAACAGAGCAAUAAAAACAUAAGACCAGAGCACUCUGGAGAAUGAUUAAAUUAAACAAAAAUAUAAUAUUAACAGUUAAUUGAGUACCAGAGCACUCUGGAUUAAUUUAAUUAACAGAGACCAUAUUGUUCUGGAGAAUAAUUAAAUUAAACAAUAAUAUAAUAUUAACAAUUAACUUAGGACCAGAGCACUCUGGAUUAACAGAUAGAAAGAGAAUUAAAAUGCAUGAAAAAGAAAUAAAAAUUAGAUGUUGGGGGGUAAGCAAGGAAUAAAGGGGGUGCAAGAACAAAAUAGAAAGAAAACAGAGAAAAGGAAAGGGCCAAAGCACAAGGCCCAGUAGAGUAUUGGGCUUAAAGCAGACCGGUUUGGGGUCCGGUUCGGUUCGGGGAGAACCAGACCAGUUUCAACUAUAUAUAUGUAGUGCCGGUUUUUUUCCUCAUUUUUUCUUUCCCCCUCUCUCUCUACCUUCUUUUAGGGUGUGUUUGGUUGCGAGAAGAAAGUGAAAAGAGAGAAAUAGGUGAGAGAGAGAGUAUAAGAAGAGAGAAAUAGAUGAGAAAUAUAGUAGAUUUGAGGUAUUGUUUGGUUUAAAACAAAGAGAAGAGAAAUAGAAGAGAGAGAAGUGUGUUUAAUUUGUAAAAAGACAAAAAUAUCCUUUUAUUAAAAAUUAAUAUAUUUACACUAAGUACAAUCUUUUAAGAAUAUUAUUAUAUGUUUUUAUACUGUUUAUGUUCCCUUUUUAUUACCGUAAAAAAUUUCCCAUUUUUUCUAUCAUAUUUCAUCUAAUCUUUUAUUUUUAAUUAGCUAAAUGCAUUUGAUUUUCUCAACUAAAAUAUACGUAAAUUUAAUAUUGUUAGUUACAAAUCAUGUAUUGUGUUAGUUAUCAAAUUUGAAUAUUACAUUACUGUUUUAAAUUUAAGAAACUCAACUGGUACAUAGGCAUUACUGUUAUUAAAUUUAAGAAACCAAAUUUUCUAAGUUUUGACCCACUCCACAGGUAGAAAAGACACUUACAAUGGGUAAAAAAAUGGUUUCUUAGGGGAAGUAGAGAUGAUAGAUCUAGUGGUGAAAGUCAGUUAUGGAACUAUGGAAGUGGACAACAAUAACAUGAAGUUAUGAGAAAGGAAACCACCGAGAGUGACGAGGGUAAAAAUGGAAAAGUAAGGAAAAAAACACUUUCUUCACUCUUUCUUCGCAUAUGAGAGAAGAGAGCUAAAAGUGGUGGGACCCACCUAUUUGAUCUCUCUCUUCUCUAUUUCUCUCCUCAACCAAACAUGGUGUUAGAGAGAGAAGCUCUCUUCUCUCUCCUUCCUUUCUUCUUCUUCUCCGGCCAGAGGUGGUGGCCGACGGGUUUUUUCGGCGCGGUGGCCGGCGAGUUAUCGCGCCGGAGUUUAAAAAAACUCCUCUUUUUUUUUGUUCUUUCUCUUCUACUCCCUCUCCUCUAUACGUUUUUAGCCUCACAAACCUCAAAAAAUAAAUAUACGAGCCUAGAUCCAAAACUAAAAGUUAAAGAAAAACUACCUUCUUGGUUUGAGAGGGUUUGUGUGAUGGUUUGGUAACUGAGAUUACGGUUUUGGACUUGUGUGUGUGUGUGUGCGGGUUUGUGAUAUGGUGAUGGAUUUGUGUUGAAUAUGUUGUGAUGGAAUUUUUUUGUGUUUUUUGCUCUUGCUGUUUUGUUUGGUCGAGAAAAAAUAUAUUAGUCUGUGUUGUUUAUAAACUUGUUUGAGCGUGUUCUCCCCCUUUGUGUGCUGCUUGUAUGAUGUAUUUAUAGAGCUGAUUUGAGCAAUAUUUUGUUGCUUGGUGAGGAAAUUGACAGGCUGUUGUGGCUUGGAGAGGAAUCUGUUUUUGUGGCUUGGAGAGGAAGCUGUUUUGUGGCUUGGAGAGGAAGCUUGAGAGGCUGCCUUGUGCUGUGUUCACUUUGGGUAUUAUCGGACUAAAUUUGACAAUAAUAAAAAUAAUAAUAAUAAAGAUAAAAUAAUAAAAAAAAAACAAGGACUAAAGUGAAUCAAAAUGAGAUAAAAAAAAGAUAAAAAUUUAAAAUGGAUUUAAAGUUAAUAGAAGAUGGAAAUUAAAAUUAAAUGAAAAAUGAAAAUUGAGAGAAGAGGGCCCGACUCGGAAUCUGAUAUGAGGUAUUUUAAAAUCCGAAUCUUUUUUUUUUUUGCUCGAAAGGCUGAGACCGGUCGGAGUUAAAUGACAUGUGUCAAUGUUGUCUUAGGUCAAAAAUUGGGGUAUGACAAUAAUCAAACUAAAUUAUUUUUGCAUAAUUAAACAACCUAAUAUUUAAAAAGUAUAAACGAGUACCAGUUAAUUUCUUUUGUAUAUACUGAUCAACGACUUCCUCUUGGUCAACUGAUUUUGGUGCUAGAUGAGGGCUGGAGGCAAUUUUCUCUUGGUCACCAAACACUUCAAACAUGGAGCCCCAUGAGACCUUACACUUAUUUCCUAUGAUGUGUGGUUUCUCCUCUUGCACUUCAAGGACUUCAGGCUUUUAGCCACUUGGACCUAGGCCCCUAGGCUUCUGUGUGUGUUUCUUCGGUUCCACUUCAACGAGGUCGUCCACAGGUUGAAUUUCUACAAUAAGCAAAAAAACAUUAAAAAAAUACGUUAGUGAUUUAACCAAGUGAAACUAUGCACUAUGAAAACUAGUUUGAAUUACUUUUCUCACGUAGCUUUUUAUGAGUAUUUUCUUCUUUUCCUUCUUUGAUCUCAAAAAAAGAACGUGCAUCAGCUUGCACAUCAUUUGUCUUUGGAAUGCUAAACAAGGUCGGAAUUACUAUUUUCGGGUAACAUUGGUGUAUCUGAGUUAAAACAAUGUUUAAGCCACCUAAUAACUCUCCUUUAAAAGCUUCUAACUGCUCUUUUAAUUUCACUUCCAUUUCCUUUUGUAAUCUUUCUUGCAGAAACUGUAUCUCAGUAUGAGCAAUCCUUUUAACUUCCUCAAUAGUUUUUUGAAUUUCAACUUGAGACUUAGUUCCCCAUAAGUCAGAAGCUACAACACCUUUUCCAUAGGUGCGCACAUAACCAUGGGUAUCUUUUCCCAAGACUUGGGACAGUAUAUCGUCUCGAGAUGAGAUUUGUUCUGAUGCAUUUGGAAGUAAAGAUAGAAAAUCCUCAAGCAUUGACUGAAAAUCAAAAGUCAAUGAUAUUUGAGAUCCAAUGAAUAUAAAGUCUUAUAUAUAUAUAUAUAUAUAUAUAUAUAUAUAUAUAUAUAUAUAUAUAUAAGUUUGAAAUAAUAAUGAUAGAGAAUCAUACAACAAUUCUCUCGGUGUCGCUGUUUACUGGAUUUCCCCUCUUGGACUUAUGUGUCAUAAUGUACAUUUCCACACGAGAGGGUUCUCUUUUAUCAGGAUUCUUCAUCGUCUAUUUAUACAAAAAAUAUAACAUUAGAUCAAUCACUACGUACAUGAUUCUCUUUUCAGACAAUGUGAACGAAAUAGAUGAUUCAUAACAGAAAGAAAAAAAAAAAAAAAAAGCACGAAUCUAAGAUAAUUGUGAUGAAAUCUAAGCGAAAUCAAAACUGAAUGCGCGAAAAAUGUGAAACCGAAGAAGAAUUCGAGAGUGUUACCUGCGUGAGCGAAAGAGGAAAAAGGAUUUGUGAAGCUCGAUCGGUGAAGUGUGAAGCUCGGCGGUGAGAUUCAGUUCCGUGAGAAGCUCGACGGAAUGAUAAUGCGUGAUGGUGGUUGAGAAUGAGAAUCCGUGAGAAUGCGUGAGAAGCUCGACGGAAUGAGAAAUUCGUCGGUGAAGCUUGACGAUGGUUGAUGGUGUGAGCGUGACGGUGGUCGAAGAUGUGCGACGGUGGUGAAGCUUGACGGUGGUUCUGCUGAAUCACGGUGGUGAGAUCUUUGUGAGAGAGAAAAGUGAUUUUUGAGGGAAGAGAGAGAAAAGUGUUUCUCAAUGGUUUAUAAUACUUUUUUUUGUUUUAUUUUGACUAUUGUUGACCAAAAAAUUUAACACGUGAAUGAAUAAUGAAUCGGUACUUGUUACUCUUUUAAUACUUGUAUUUUUAUUUUUUUUAGGGAUGGUACUUUCUUUUUUUUUUUGAAGGAGGGGAUGGUACUUGUUGUAUUGGAUGUAACACUUUUACUCAAUUGUUACUAUAUCACUAUAUCAGCUAACAAUUUUUCAAGUGUUGCAAUCACCUUGUUACUAAAAGUCAUUAUUGUAGUAGUGACAAUAUAUUGAAUUUUGAGAGAUCACCAAAUCUCAUACAGAGGACACAAAUGGACAUGUAGAGGAGAACACAAAUUGAGCUGUCGACAAUUCCAAAAUCCGAGAUUGUUGAGAGAGGAGAGAUGUCGAAGCCCAUUUCCAUCGAAAGACUUCAUUUCAGAGAGACUGCCGAUAAACAGAGACAAAAGGGAGAUGGGUAUCAACAGCUCCUUCAUCAAGGUGCUAAGUGCUAACUAUAUCAUCACUCUUUCCAAUAGUCAAUGUUGAAAGAGCGGUCAGAUCUAGAAGGUAGACAAACUCCUUCACAAAAUCUAGAAGGGUGUUGCUAUUUGGGACCAAAUCACAAUUGAUUGUAAUUUAGGAGGUAGACAAACUCCUUCACAAAAUGACAACUCUCGACAUUCCAAGUCCAACCGUUCAAGAGCGGUAAGCGUGUCCAUCCGAAGCUUCACUUUAAGUGAUCCAAUUGAGUCAUGGGAUUUGAUUACAAGUGUUUGGAGUCUUGACGGUCGACUUGGAGGACUUUCUAAAAUAUUAAUGGAAUCCAGAUUCCUACACUCACUUAUCCGAAGUCUUUGGAGUGCAGGGAAACCAUCAAGUUGGAAGGAUGUAAGUGCAUCACAGCUACUCCGUAAAGUAAGACUCGCAAGCGAUGUGUAAUUGCUCCAUGUUUCAGGAGGAAGGAAUGAUAAAUUCUCACAUUUUUCUAUUUCAAGUGAUUGCAAUGGAGUUGGCAGACCACUUGACGGAAAUACAGUGAGAGAUGGAAUAUCAUAGAGUUUCAAGUGUUGAAGAAAAGUGCUUCUCAAAAUCAAUUUUGGCAUAGAUGACAGCAUAACACACUUUUCAAUCACUGCAUGUUGCAUCGUGCAAGGAGAAUCGCUCCCAAGAAAUGACAAUUGGGUCCUUCCAUCAUAGGCAACUCACUUAUGUUAGUACCACUUAUAUCAAGGUGGCGUAAACUGGCAAAAUAUCCAAUUUGUACUGGCAAUUCAGUGAGACCCUCACAACUUGAUAAAAUCAAGGUUUGCAAAUUGUAAAGGUUACAUAUUGUAUCAUGCAAGCUUUUGAUUUCAGUAUAGGAGAGAUCUAGAUACCGCAGUUGCACUAAAUUGCCAAUUGUAUCUGGUAGCUUGGUGAUGUUUGUAUACUUUGAAAGUGAUAAUACACGCAACAUGUUGAGUGUUGGUAGGAAAUUGUCAACCACCUUUAUGGAUAAGGAAUUGUGAAAACUCUUAUAAUUAAUGGGUAGGAAGCUUCGCAAGCAUUUGAAAUUGUAGAUUUUCUCAAACUUUCUGAAAAUGUCAUACACUUCUUGGUUAUAUGAGAAAUGACGAACAGUUUUGGAGAUGUCACCAAAUUCACACCUGCAACAACUUUUUCCUGAUACGACUGUAGCUAAGUCGUUGACAAGGUCAUGCAUGAAAAAGAUUUUUCCAAAACCAUCAUCAUUUGAUUGUUGAAUUAAGGAUCUGGAUGACAAUUCAAGAAAGCAAUCAUCACCAAAUUCCUCAGUCAUUUUUCCCCCUUGAGAACAAUCAAGGAAGCCUUCUGCCAUCCACAACAAAACCAAUUGCUUCCUAUCAAGUGGGUAGUCCUUUGGAAAAAUUGAACAAUAUGCAAAACAUCUUUUCAAAUCGUCACAACAGUGGAAUGGAAUGGACUGGAAGCAAGGAUGUGUGCAUAACGGUAAUUGGAGUUGUGGGGUCAAAGACAGAGAUGGGUUUAUAUUGCGGUAUCAAUUACAGCUUCAGUGGUCCUUUUGAUGUUAUUGGCAGUCACCUACAUCUAUAUAACCAAGACAAAGUAUAAAGGUAAGUUUCUUAAGCAUAGUGCCUUUUAGAUUUCUCAAGAUUCUAAAAUUAAUGAAUUGGAUUCAUGCAAUAUCUCAGUAUUUCACUUGUGCAAGUUUCUUAUUAAAAUAGAAAUUUUGUAGUGACGCUUCAUGUGCUAAAUUUCCAAUCAAAGUUUCUUUUUUUACAUGACAUUGACUAAAAGAGGGAAUAGAGAGAACAACAAGUCCACAAGAAAAAGAUGAGGAAACACAUGAAGAUAUUGAGCUUCCCAUCUUCGACCUAGCUACAAUACUCGAGGCAACAAAUAACUUCUCUUUUGACAAUAAGCUCGGGGAAGGUGGUUUUGGACCAGUAUAUAAGGUAAACUUACAACAUUUCUGGUUAAGUGAAUAAAAUAGAAAUAUUUUUUAUAAAACUAUUUCAACUAUUAUUAUUAUAUAUAUAGGGGACAUUUCUCAAUGGGCAAGAAAUUGCUGUCAAAAGGCUUUCAAGGAGUUCUGGACAAGGACCUAAAGAGUUUUAAAAUGAAGUUAUAUUAUGUACUAAACUUCAACACCGAAAUCUUGUAAAGGUUGUUGGUUGUUGUAUUGAAGGAGAAGAGAAAAUGUUGAUAUAUGAAUACAUGUCCAACAAAAGUCUCGAUUCAUUUCUUUUUGGUGAGUAAUUUUUCGCGAAGUGUAAUAUUUGGAAUGAUAUUAGUUUAUUUUGUUAUGCAAAGAAACGACAUGUAAACGUAUUGGAGGCACUUUACAGAUCCAUUUCAAAGUAAAUUGUUGGAUUGGUCUGCACGCUUCAACAUUAUAUUUGGAAUUGCUCGAGGGCUUCUUUAUCUUCAUCAAGAUUCAAGAUUACGGAUCAUACACAGAGAUCUUAAAGUGAGUAAUAUUUUAUUAGAUGACGAUAUGAAUCCCAAAAUUUCAGAUUUUGGUAUGGCUAGAAUGUGUGGAGGUGAUCAAAUUGAGGGGAGAACAAACAGAAUAGUCGGUACAUAGUAAGUAUCUUCAAAGAUAACUCACUUCUUCUAUGAUCGAUGUGACAUUUCAAUAAUUAUUUGUUGAUUCCUUUCAGCGGCUAUAUGGCACCUGAAUAUGCAACAAAUGGAUUAUUUUCUAUCAAAUCAGAUGUAUUUAGCUUUGGCGUGUUAUUAUUAGAAAUAAUCAGCGGAAAGAAAAAUAGAGCACUUAACUACCAUGAGCACGAUCAUAAUCUUAUUGGAUAUGUAAGUUUCCUUAAACACAAUGAUUCUCUUGUAGUAUAUUAGUAUAAGAAAAAUCUAUUAAACUUUUGCAGGUGUGGAGAUUGUGGAAAGAGGGCAUUCCACUCGAAUUGAUCGAUGAUUUCUUGAGGGACUCGUGUAUUGAGUCUGAAGCAUUGCGUUGCAUUCAAAUCGGUCUACUAUGCCUACAACAUCAUCCUGAUAACAGACCAAACAUGACAUCAGUGGUUGUGAUGCUGAGUAGCGAAAAUAGUUUACCUAAACCAAAGGAACCUGGUUUAUUAAUUAAAAAACUUUCAACUGAAGGAAAAGCUUCACCUGGAAGACAAACAUCUUCGACAAAUGAAAUAACUAUAUCACAGUUAGAUGCUAGAUAAAGAAAUUUGUACAUUUAUAACAUUAUACUUUAAAUGUUACUUAUCAUAGCUAUACUAUACAACAAAAAACUUCCAUUUUUGUUAUAGAGAGGGGUGGUAACCUGUUCUUGUGUAUGCAUUAGUUUUUUGUUUUGUUACAAUUCUUUGGCACCUAAAAUAAUGUCGCACUCUUUCAGAAAACAACAAGUGGCGGAGCCAGGAAUAUUGUAAAGCCCAGGCAAAAAAAAAAUUGCAACACAUUUAUAGGGCGUACAUAAGAAAUUGCAAGCAAAUAAUAAAAAAUGUAAAGAAAUUGUCCAAUUUAUAGGGAUUUAUAUAAGAAAUUCAUAGGGAUUUACACAAGAAAUUGAAAAAAAUUUGGCCCGGAGCCCGGGCAAGUGCCCUGGGUCGCCGGGCCUUAGAACCGCCCCUGCUUGUAUUGAAAUAACGGUGGAUUGAAGAAUGCUACAGCUUGACCAUGUAACAAAUGGGAUACACGAUGAACAUAACAUGGUUUGAGUAUUUCCGUUGAGAUCUUCCUUAUUGCAAAGGCUAUGGGCUUAUGGUGGAACUCAAAGUAAGGUCAUUGAUGCACGGUGAUGGAUGACGGCACGAGGUGUUGUUCAGUAGCGGUAGGACCAUAGUCACACAAUUCGCUGCUACCCCAUACGAACGAACCAAUUCCCACGUAUCGGUUCGCAGUCCUUUUGCGUACGUGCAAAUUCGUUUUGCAAUUCCUUGGAAGUGGCGAACGUGUUGAAGAUGGAAGCCGACAACCAAAAACCAAUAGAAAGUGAACCACUUCCCAUCAACACCGGAUUCAAUGACCAUUUCCAUUGCACCUUCAUCAUUCUUUAACUCUUUAACUAUUUCAUCAGCCUUGUAAUACAUUAAUAGAACUUCGGGGUAACCUUUCUCUUUGAGAAUGCCCAAAAUCUCAGAAUAUGACCAACAAGCAGGAUCACACGACAAUUCAUAAUCAAUACCCAGCUUAUAGUCAUAAUCAUCUCCUGGGAUCCCAAAGAAUCCACCGGUGUGGAUCCUGACAUUAAACAAACCAACAAGAGUAUUGGCUUCUAAAUCUACGUGAAUAACAACGAAAAAAUAACUUCAUAAAAUAUCUUGAAUCUUGAAUCGUGAUUAGAAAUCCUCAUAUGAUAACCUCACAGUAUGAAACGAAGAACCCUAAUAAUUAGGGGUGGGCAUGGUUCGGUUAACCUAAAAAACCGAACCGAAAUUUUAAAAUGGUUCGGAAAACCGAACCGAACCGUUUCAGGUAUGCAACUAACCGAACUGAACCAAAGUUAUGGUUCGGUUAACCGUUUUCUUACCUAUGAACCGAACCAAACCAAAACCAAUAUUUUGAACCAAAUGUAUUUUUUUUUCCUUUUGUGAAUUUAAUUGUGUUUUUUUUAUCCAAAAUGCAAAAUAUUUUUUUAUUUACUUUUUUUUAAGAAUAUAAUUUUUUUUAUUAAUAUUAUUAUUACACAAACAAAGUAAAAUAAUAAGUUUAAUGCAAAAUAUAUUAAGAAAUAAAAUUUACACUAUGAAAUUAUCGAUUAAUUUUUGAAAGAUAUGAAGUAAUAAUAAUAUAGAUUAAAUUAAUGUAAUAUAUAAGAUUAAACACGGUAAAAAAUAUAUGUAUUAAUAUUUACUUUCGCGGUUCGGUUUAGAUUGUUUCGGAUUUGAAAAAAAUGAUCCGAUCCGAUCCAAGUCAAAAAAAUCAACAUAAGAGCACAUAAAUCACAAGAGCACAUCUUUUGUUAAAUUUCAAAAAAUUCAAUAGAACUAUAUCUUUUAUACAGUUGACAUCAACAUAAGAGCACAUAAAUCAUAAGAGCUUGAUCCUUAAGUAACAAUAAAAUCAACUUCAGUUUGAAGCAUAAAGAUGCACAAUAACUCUCAAUACAUCAACAUAAGAGCAUAUAAAUCAUAAGAGUUUAAUCCUUAAGUAACAAUAAAAUCAACUUCAGUUUGAAGCAUAAAGAUGCACAAUAAUUCCUUAGUUACUCUCAAUACAUCAUACUUGCAUAAGUUAAUAGAGUCAACAUCCUUCCAAAGAAAACUAUUACAAUGACAAAACAAAAUAAAGCUAAAUGUUUAUAAUAGCAGACAUCUUCUCUCAACAAGUAGUUAAUAACUUCAACUUUGAAGUUCAAAUUGAUCUCUGACUUUAUGAAUUAUGUUUGAUCAUUCAUAUGGUAUGGGCCCUGCAAAACAAAAAGACAUGAAUUGAAGUGAAUUGGCUUAGAAAGGGAUUCAAGAUAUUUGACAGUAACUAAUACUAUAUAUUAACCAAACAUAUUUAUCUCAAGUGUUACCUUUAUGAUUCAAGUGGAUGGUUUUCAAUUUAUAUCAUCUAAGUGGACUGAUUCUUGAGAUGUUAUCUCUACAAAAAAAAAAAAAAAAUAUAUAAAUUAACCAAUGUUGAAAAUAAGAAUCAAAAUGCACAAGUUUCAGAUUGUUAUACAUAAUACAUACAAGUUAUACAAUCAGCUCAGAGUUAAUUUUGCAGGAAUUAUAAAUCAUCUAAGGUUGAACAAAUAAAGCUAGAAACUCAAAAAGUUGUUGUCACAUAAAGCCAGCUACUAUGUAAUUCUAUAUGAUACUCAGAAAAUUCAUAUCUACGGAUUAUCCCCUGAGAUCAACUACCUUCUGCAGAAAAGCAUGAAGCUACAAAAUUCACUUACCUUACAACCAGAUCACAUAUCAGUAACUAGGUAUCAAUUUACUACCAAGAGGAAAGUAUGGCUUAUCACAUGAAAUCAUAUCAAAACCAAACUACUGCAUAAUAAUUCUCUGCACUCCACACACAACACAUCAUAGAGGCUAUACUAAUUGAGACACAAAAUAGACUAGACCUAGACCAAGCUAGAAUUGUUAUACAUAUUAUGAACCAUCUAAGUUUCAAGUUGUGUAUCAUUAAUCAAUGAAGAAGCCAACAUGUAAUUAAAUCGUUUAAUGAAACCAAAACAAAAGCAUCUUAGUUUAAAUAACAAUUUAAAAAACAUUCAUUAUUCAUCGAAACCUAUAAACUCGAUUAUUCAAGAUGACAAGUAGCAGCUCAAACUCACUAAGGGCCAAGUUUCAAGUUAACCUCCUCCAAACUUUACCAUUCAAUCAAGAUGUUACUCUACUAACAGUCAAUUACAUCACAAGAUGUUACCAUUCUUCUUGGACAAGUUCAUUUUAAAAUUUCAGAAACUACAAAGUGCAUGACUAUAAUUAACUUCACAAGACAACAAUAAUAACAAAGUUACAAAAGAUUCACCAUCCUACCAAAAAACUCCACAGUAGAGAACACAAAUGAAUAGAAGUUAUAGAAAUGAGCUAAAAAAAGCUUCUAAGAGUCCAAAUAUUUCACACGUCACUUUGCAACAAUCACUAACAAAUUAACACUCAUCAUAUAAUCACACAAACAUGCCAGAAACAAAAACAUGCCCACAAACCAAAAUCAAUCAUACCCAGAAACAAAAAUCAAACAAAAUCAUACCCAAAAACCAAAAUCAAUCAUACCCAAAAACAAAACUAAAAACAAAUCAUACCCAUAAACUAAUUUGUACCUUACGUGAAGAGUUCGCAUAAGAGUUCGAAGAAGAGGUGAAGAUCGCAAACAAAAAUGAAUUGGCUAAAAAAUGGUCCCUGAAGAGGUGAAGACCGGCCAUUUCAUGGAUUAAUCAUGGCAUUUCACCAUCACUGGUCCCUGAAGAGGAGAAAUUAGGGUUUAGAAAUUGAAAUUGAAAUUACUCAAAUUAGGGUUUUGAAAAGGGUUCAGUUCACCUUUUGUGUCAUUGUGUGAAAAGAAGAUUUCUGUGAUAACUGAUUAAUUGAGUUGUAAAUUGUAAUGGUUCGGUUCGGUUAAUACCAGUUAAUUGAAUCUAAUAAAAAUUCGGUUCGGUUAGUAAAUCAUCUUCAAAUAACGGUUCAAUUCGGUUAACCAAUGCAGUGAUUCGGUUAAUUUUAAUAUGGUUCGGUUCAGUUAACCGGUUCAGAUUGGUUUUUGGUUAACUUUGCCCACCCCUACUAAUAACAAUAGAUUACGACAUUCAAAGUCCAUUUGUACCAAAUAAAACUAUUGUUUCAAUCAAAAUAAUUUUACAUAUUUUCGCAAACGUCUGCUUCUGCUAUCAAUGUAGAAUUUGCCUUAGAAUUAUCUCACCAAGCACCACUUGAAUCCUAAGUGGAACAGUGUCUUUUUUUUUUUUUUUUUUUUACCAGCCUGGAUGAAGAAAUGCUUCUCCUUUUCACUUUAAAUAAGAGAAAUGCUAGCAAAGCUGAAGACUAGAAUUUAGGACAGUCUGGCAAAGCUGAAAUAUUACAUUAAGAAGGUUAUUUUAAUGUACAGAAUUAGGUUCCAGUGAUAGCAGUCAUGGCACUAGAUACACUAACAAGAAUGAUGGAGAUAGUAUCUUGUUAAUUGACUAAGCAAUAUUGUUCAUCUUUAUGUCCCCUAUACAUCAAAACUACACAAGAAAAAAAAAACAGUAGGAUUUCCCAAUGUCUAUUGGCGCAAUCAUUUGCAGUAUUGCCGAAACUUGCAACAAAGAACAAAGGGCUUCUUCACAACCUACAAUUAAAAUACAUUGAAAAGCAAUAUUAAUAAAUAAUCAAAGAGUGUUUCUUUUUCAAUACAUCUAUCUAUCACGGACAAAAUCAUACUAUCUUGUGAUAAGCAUAAUAGCUAAACUCCAUCAUCGCAUCAGCCGAACAAGAAGAAAUUAUCAGUAUUCUACAAUAAGGAAGAAACAUGGACUCCCUCUUAAACAAUUCAGGUUUAAGUCCAAUAACCCUCAAAUUAAACAUCACAUAAAUUAUGUUACCAUUUUAUAUUUAAUCUGAAUGUUAUCCUAUUAUUAGAUAUAAAUCACAGUAAAUGGUGACAACAUUCACUGUGUAAGUCAAGCAAAUUACGUAAACUAUCAAUUUGUCUGGUUGGCUUAGCUAGCUUAAUCUUGUGAGCAGAAACUUAGGGCUUAUUAACAUUAGAUCUAAAAAUACAUAUAUAAGAUUAUAACUUCUAAGAGCAUCCCCAAUAGAGGGAGCUUACUCAUUCAGAAAUGGUACCAAAUAAGCACCCCAUUGUGGCCUAAUUUCCCAUGGUACCAAACCGGCACAGGUACCUUCAUAGGUUCUCUUUCUCUUUAUUUUUGCAGGUUUAAGGGAUGGGAUGAGAUGCUUAUUAGGCACUUAAGUUGAAAAGUAAAACUAAAUUAUGUAUAGAAAUGAAACCUACUUAAUAACCCCUAUGACAGAAGUUGGGGAAGAGAUUCUCUAAAUAACUCAAUAAACAUUACGAGCAGACGCAAUGGACUUCAUUGAUUUAAUAACUUCCAAAUAAUUUGAAUGUCCUCUUCAUGCAAACAAGCAUUAACUAAACUAAAUUUAUAGUAUCAACCUGCUCAAUGAAAGCAAAAUAUUGAGCUAUUAAAAGAAGCAAAAGCUCGGUUUUGUCAAACGUAAAAGGGAUCUAACACAAAUGCACUGACUUAUAGAAAGGGCACAAAACAAGGCAACUAUCAUAAUUUGAAAGGUAUUCAGCUACAGUAAAGUUAUGAACAGAAUCAACAUAUAUGUCAUAUACUAGAAAAAGACCUGAAUGUGAGCCACGAUGCAACAAAACCCUAGUCUUCCGCCUACACAUAUAUGCACACAAAUUGCUUGUGGGCAGCCACGUUACUUGAAUAAGAAUUACACCCCCUACUUCUCUAACAAUUCAAGCACCUGAUAUAUCAUAUAAUUAUAUAUAAGUUCUCUUUUUACCUCCCAUUGUGUAUGGUCCUCCUAGAUAUAUUUAUCAUAAACUGUUUAGUUACCAGUCAUCAACAGAAAAAAGCAGUAUUAUCAAUGUCAGCUGAUACCAAAAUCAGGUUGAGAGCAUAAUGUUUUUGGCUCUACUUUUCCGCUAAGCACCUACAGGAAUGAAAAGUGACCCAAACACUUAAGUUCAACCUUUAUCUUGUCCUUCAAUCCGUUCAGAAUGAUUUCAGUGAGGUUCUCUUUAUCCAUGAUAUUAAAUCACAUCAAUAACUUGAAGGAUUUGGAUCAUCUUCUUCACUCUCUUCUAUGUCUCUCUUCAUUAAAAAAAAUAAAUAAAAAAAUAACCAAUAGAGAGAGAAAGAGAUAGAGUAAGAUUAAGAGAGUAAGGAGAGACAUGUUGAGGAGAGGAUCCAAUUAAUGCCUCGAUCUAAUUUCUGUAAUUUAGCUCCCUCGUUAACUCAAUUUUACAAUAUGCUUAUACAAGUUCUGCAUCAUAGUGGGAAUACCUGAGAAGCGUGUUCUUUAAGGCAACUCAAUUAGGAUUUGAGACAAGUAUCCCACCAUCAAUAUGAAAGACAACACUUCCCCAUCAAGAGGCGUAGAGUUGCCCGUACCAUGAGCUUAAGCUUAGCAAUCAAUAUGCAAUAGCAGCCUGAUUAAUCUCAAUAAAAUGUACAUAGCUAGGCAAGUGAGGCAAAUAGGUCAUUGUCAUCCGACCACUACCAAGCAUUGUAGCCUUUAUUCACCUUAGACCUUGCUAAGUACAUGUGUGUUUAUUGGAAUUAGGUUACUAUGGACAUAAUUUUUGUAUAGACCAGCUCUUUCUAACUGAUCCAACAUUAGUUGCGUAGCCAUUUUAACAAUAGCUCCGUACUCUAAACAACAUUAUUCGAAAAAAUAAUUAGAGAAGUCAUCCAAUUCAAGACAAUAUCACUAUUAUUUAUAUUUUAAAGGGAAAUUUGUACGAGGGAAGUCAACCCUAUAUACAGACGCAUUCUGGAUGUGUACCAAAACAGAAAAUUUUGGUACAAAAUCUGUCACGUGGGGUAAGAUGGAGAAAAUAUAAAAAUUCAUCUACUAAAUUACUAAUUUAAAAAGCCCUGUACUUUUAGCUGUACAACUUGUACUCAUAUGACUAGACAGUAAUGAACAAUUGGAAACAUCAAUUUAAAUGAGUAUAAAAUUCUAAUUAUUAUUUAAAAUUGCCAGAAAAAAUCCUUGCAUCAUAGUAUAUAGAAUUCAAUUUAUGCUUACAGAAUAUACAUAAUACUUCCAGUAUGGCUGAGAUAACUAAAUAGCACAAAAUUAUUGCAGACAAUAAGAAGCAUGAAAGCAAAGAAGACAAACAAUUCACACGGAAUAAUAUUUAAUUUCAGAUUCCAAAAACAUCAAGUUGAAAGGGGAACAGUCAUGCAAGUAUUGACACCAAUGCCUUAGUAGCAGGAGGUGCUAUUAAUUCCAGCUUAAGCUUUAACGUCAAACAGAUAGUUGAUUCAUAUUUAGAAUAAAUCAACCUCGUUUCGCAUGGAGCAAAACAAAUCAAUGUAUAGGUAAAAUGCAUAAUGCUUUUCUAGGUCGUUCAAUAUUUCAGAUAUGUAACAUUGGCCUGAAAAUCCCUUCUAAAUUCUAAUGAAUGAACUGUGACAAAUAACUAUGGUCCUUACAAUAAAAAUCUUAAGCAAUAGUUGUCAGUCAGUAAGGGAGUCAUAAAGAUAACCUAGUGGUUGGGAGAGCGAGAUACAGGAGCUAGCGGUCAAAUCCAACACUCCAUUAACAUCUUACAAAUCUAAUAAUUUACUAACAUUUGUCUUACCUUAAGAAAAAAUAUCCCUUACUUAGAGUGGCUCUACUUGGGUUAGUUUCUCUCUUAUAGAAACUUGUCAAAUGAGUUAAGAAUUUAGUUCUGAAUGAUAAAGCUCUCAGUCAUAAGUUUAAAGUUGUUUAUGAACUAGUUAGAUAAGAUAAUACAAUUAUACAAAGGGUCAUGUUAACUUGUGCCCUUAGGACACAUGUUAAGCAUUAAUUUCAUUUCAUUAAUAGUAAGAAUUUAAUGGAAAAAAAAUUAGUAUUAAACAACUUGAGUAAUAAAUUAACACAAUUUCCAAUACACAAUUACUAUUAGUGGAAUUCUUAACAUGUGCCCUAAGGCACAAGUUAACAUUUCCUUUAUACAAAAAGUAAUUAGUUAAAAGACCAAGAGACAUUGCAGGAACAUUUUAACAUUUCUUUUCUACAAGUUCUUGAAAAAUUUAUCCGAUCUAGAACCAGAAACAAAGUUGAUGCGUAUAUUAACAUAAAAAUAAAAACAAUAAAUUCAUCUGGGUGUUGUGAAAGUAAUAACAAAUAAGUGUUGAUUAUUUCCAGCACAAUUCAACAAGUUCAAAUUACGAACCUUUCAGUCCAAGAUCAAUACUCUGUUGUCGUCAAUACGCAACCCGACCCAUUCUGGAGGUGGCCAGAACAACUCCGAAGAACCAAGUAAAUCAGAAAAAGGAGAAAUUCGACGUUGAUCCAAAUGAAAAACACCGAUCCCAACCUCAUUGGAAUGAAAAUUGUGAAAAACAUCAUCCCUAAAUAUCACACAGUUCCCAUUGCCAAUACACAAAUCUAAAGCUGAAGCGGAAAAAGCACAAUCUUCCCCCAAAAACAAAACCCUAUCCCCCAAAUUUCUCACCUCCACCCACUUUUUCUCCCUCUCAUCAAGCCUAAACACAUCAAAUCUCACAUCCCUUCCCAUUACAAUCCCAAAAUAAUCAUCAUCAUCAACAUCUAUAACAUCGUAAUCAUUCAAAGAAGAAAAAUACUUAUCAACUAGCAACAACUCACCAUCACUCUCCACCAAGAAUUUUUUACCUCCAUCAAACACAGCCUCUGCCACCAACUCCAAGCUUAAGUCCGGCUCUACCGUGACAGUCCUACCGGUGCCAUCGACAGCAAUAGGCUGCCCAUUGAAGACACAUACAUCAUCAAAAGGCAUCGGCAAUUCAGGAAUUAUCGUCCACAGUUCAUCACCACUUGGUAAAAUUGCAAGUUUUCCAGAAACAUGAAUAGUGAGAAGAACAGGAGAAUGAUCGUUAUAAACAACCGCCUUUUUCUUGUAGAGUGAGCUAAGAGAAAGCGAAUAUUGAGAAGAUUUAGAAGGAAAAUUACCAAUGACAAAUUCACAACCUAGAUCGAUGACACGGUGUUCGUUGAAAUCAAUAACGUGAGGGAAAUGAAGAGUGAGUUGCUUAUCACGUGAGAGAGGGUUCCAGAGAUGAGUUGUGACCAGUCUGGUGCCAUUACUGGAGGAGCUAAGGGAGAGGGUUGCUGCUCAUUCAUUUUCUCUGUGAAAUGUGGAAUGUAGAAGAGGAGGAUGAUGAUUGAUUGACACAGUCACAGGGAAAUGAAAAUGAAGUGCUCCUGGUUCAGUACUUUUUAUUUAUUUUCUUAUAAAAUAUUGGGUUAAUAGGUUUUUAUCCCCUGUCAUUUGGUGGUAUUUUGGUAUAUCCCCGGUAAAAAAAAAACUUGGGGAUUUUCCCCUGUAAAAUGAAGAUUCUUUAGUUUUUAACCCUCGGCGCAUUUGACUGUACACUUAAACAUAUGUGUCGUGUUGAGUCAGCUUUUUUUUAUUACGUGGUGUGCUGACUGUAUAUUUAUUUUAAUUUUUAAUUUUUUUUAUUACAUCAAACUUAUAUAUUUUUUUUUAUUUUUUAUUUACAAUUAGAAAAAAUUGAAAGACAAUUAAAAAUAAACAAGAAUUUUUUCAAUUUUUUUUUAAUUCAAUUCCCAUCUCUCUUCUCUCAUCCAUCUAUUCUUUCUCUCUUCUCUUCUCUGCUCUCGCCCCCCAUCUCUUCUCUUCUUUCCCUUUUAAUCCCAAUUAAUUUGAAUCCAAUCAACAACAACAACAUAGCAAGCAACACUUUCGGAUCCAAUCAACUACAACACACAAACAACCCAUUUUCAAAUCCAAUCAACAACACACAAACAACCCAUUUUCGGUACUAUUCAUUAUCAAAAGCAAAAAUUUGUGUAUUGUUCAUACCAAGAAUAUGUCCCAAAUUCGUGCAAAAAAUUGUGUUUUUGUAAAAGAGAAGAAGAAGCGUGUUCUGGAAAAAGAGAAGGGAGAGGUGGAGAAGAAGAGAAAAAUAUUAUUUUUUAAAUGUUUUAAAUUCAUUAAAUUAAGUUUUUAAUAAAGAAAUUUAAAUGGAAUUAAAAAAAAUUGGAAAAGAAAUAAAAAUGCCAAGUCAAAGUGUCAUCUCAUUUAUCAAUGUACAAUAAGCGCACCACCUAAUUUGUCCAGUCACAUGCUAUCAGGGUUGAAAACCAAAGAAUCUUCAUUUUAUAGGGGGAAUCUCCAAGUUUUUUUUUUUACAGGGGUAUACCAAAAGACCCCCAAAUGGUAGGGGUAAAAGCCUAUUAACCCUAAAAUAUUUAAGGAUUAAUUACCUUUUUGGUCCUCUAACUAUUUAAUUGGUAUCGGUUUGGUCCUCUAACUAAAAAUUGAUUUAUUUUGGUCCUUUAAGUUUAUCACCGUUACUAUAUUUCGUCCUUUCUGUUAGUUUUAAUAGAAGAAACGUUAGGGUUUGUACAACAUCAUCAACAACAGCAAGGAAAAACCCAAAAAUUCAUACACAAACCCAGAACUUCAUAAACAACAAAAAAUCCAAAUUUCAUAACAAGAACCUUAAACAAGAAAAUCAUGUUUCUAUGUAUAACCUAACUCAUCUUCUUCCCAAUAUCCUUUCCAUACAAAUUCCAAAACUAUAUCUCUUUCCAUACAAAUUCCAGAACCAUAUCUCUUUAAAACUCUAUCUCUUUCCAUGUUGUCUUCCCAUUAUUUAUAAUUGUACUGUUGUUGCACUUAUUUGCUUUAAUUCAAACGACAAUUUCAUAUUGAUGCAUGCCUUUUCUUUCGAAUUGAAUUUCUUAGGCUAUGAAUCAACACUGUGUCGUGCCCUUUUGAUUUGUUGUGGUUGUCGUGGCUAUUUUGUUUCAAUGAGUUUGUUUUUUUAUGAAGGAUUGGUGAUGAUGAGUUUAGAUCCGAAAAUGAUUUUUUUUUAAGGAAUGAUGAUGAUGGGUUUAGAUCUGAAAAUGGUUUUUUGUGAAGGAUUGGUGGUGGUGAUGAUGAUAGAUUAGAUUGAAUUUUUGAAUUGGAUCCAAAAAUGGGUUUCUGGAUUUGUAUUUGUAGAAGAAGAAAUGAUGAUGAUGAAGAAUUGAUGAAGAGAUGUUGAUUUGUUUUGCUGAGUUUUUUUUUAUAAGGUUGAUGAAGGUGGAUGGGGAAGAUGAUGAAGAAGUUGAAUGCAGAUGAUGAUUGUAUAAGCCCUAACUUUUUAUUAAUAAAAUUAACGGAAAGGAUUAAAAGUAGUAACUGAGAGAAAUUUAAGGGACCAAAAUAAAUCAAAUUUUAGUUAGGGGACCAAACCGAUACUAAUUAAAUAGUUAAGGGACCAAAAAUGCAAUUUAGCCAAUAUUUAAAGAAACUUCUACGGUACACCUCACAAAUUGAGCUGUAUUGGUAUUCUUUCUCCAUAAAUUUAUAAAUUAACAAUCAUUUUAUGAAAUAAAAAGUUACAUUUUUCAAUAUUUAUAUUUUAUAAGGGAAUACAUGGUUUUAAGAUGAUUUUUUUCAUUUCUAAUCAUACCUUUAAAAAAUGUUAUAUUAUUGGUGUCAUUCAAAAUAUAAGAAUUUAUAUUAUAUUUGUUAUAUUGUUCGUGUCAUUUAAAAAGAUAAGUAUAGUUUAUUUAUAAUUUCAAUCAAAAUGAAAAUAAUUUUAAUCAAAAUUUUAGAAAAAAUAUUGUUCAUAAUUUAUACACACUAGAACUUUUACUCGUGCUACCGCUCGGGUCAUAAACAAUGGAGAAGCUAAUAUAUUGCAAUAAGAUCCAUUACAUAAAAAAAAAAAGUACAAAAUAUUGUAAAAAAAAAAGCAUGAAAUUGGUGCGAUCUAUUUUUCUAGUAUUAAAUAAGUGUACAAAAUGAGGAGGUACAAAAUUAAUUAAUAAGGAUGUACAAAAUAUUGUCAUAAAAAAAAGGCAAGAGGAUAGCAAAAAAACAAAAGGCAAGAGAAUAUGAACGAAACUUUUAAUAAUUAAGGGACCAAAAUGAAACCAAAAAAUAAGUUAGGGGACCAAAAGAGUAAUUAAGCCACUUUCAAAUGUAACAAACUCAACAAACCAUAUUUAUAUUUUUUAAUGAUAACAAUAUUAUAACAAAUAUAACAAAAAAAUAUCUUUUUAAUAACACCAACAAUAUAAGAUUAUUAUAUCCUUAAAAAAAAUAUAAGAUUAUUAUAUGAAAAUUUGUUUAAGAAUAUAACUGAAAUAACAAAAAAGCACACCCAAAAUCUUCCUAAAACCUUUUAUUUUCUGUAUAUAGUAUAGAAUAGAUAUAGAAGAUAAAUGAUAAUAAGAUGUCACGAAUCACGAUAGUAUUAAAUUUUUUAUUUAAUAAAAAGUGGAGUAGCGAGAAAAAAGUAGAUAUUUCUUAAAUAUUAAUGUUAAAAAGAAAAAUAUCAUUUAUAUCCAUAUUUUUUUAACAAUUUUUCUCAUCAAACUUUAAAUCGAUACUAUAAUUGAGAAAAGAUUGUCAAAAAAUUAAUAAUUCAAAAAAGAUAAAUACAGUAUAUAUUUUUUCUUGAGUGGGAAAAGAUAAAUAUAUUGUUUACAAAAGCAAAAAAAUAAAAUAUAAAUAUUUUUAAAAGGAAAAGAUAAAUAUAUUGUUUACAAAACAAAAAAGAUAAAAUAUAAAUAUUUUUUAAAAGGAAAAGAUAAAUAUAUUGUUACCAAAAAAAAAAAGAUAAAUAUUUUAAUAAAGUUAAAAAGUGAGCGAGGUAGUAUAGUAUAAAAGCAAUGAACUAACUGGAUGACACAAAUCACAUAUCGAUUACUUCACUCGGUUAUCGAUAAACUUUCUUCCUUCCUUUUUACUGUACUCUGAUGAACUGAACCCUUGUCUCAUCAAUCUCAUCAGGUACCCUUUUCUUCUUCAUUCCAUCAAUUCUUCACUACCCAGAUUCUAUUUCCUCUUUUUUACUACCUUUGAAUUGGGUCAACACAAAGUUGAAUUUCAAACGACUUCAAUUGAGAUCUUAUUCAACAAUAUUCAAGGUUGAGAAUUCAUUAGUUGGUUAGGUAGAUAUCUUCUUUUGACUUGACUGAUUUGACCUAUAGAUACAGAUUCAUCAACUAUUUCUGUACUCUGUUAGUUAAAAUUGCAUAUAACCUCUGAGACCCUUUAUCUUUUUUAGUAUAUCUGUAAAAGUCUCGAAGACGUAGACACAAUUGAUCGAACUCUGUGAUCUAGUUUUCUAUUUGCCAGCGAUGUCGGAGAAGAGUAGUAUGCUUCCAUCUAGGUUUAUAUUUUAUGUGAUGCUUAUAUGCAUGUUUCUUUUAGUCUUGUCUUCAAUUUUCUUAGUUCAAUUUAGCAGUCAUUCUUUCAUACCGAGAUCGGUUUUAGAGCUUAUUAUUGUUAAUAACUCGUCGUUUUACUUUACGCCUAAUUUUAAGAAGGAGCAAAUAAUACUUCCUACUUUACCUUCCGAGGAUUUGAAAUUUCAAACGUUAAAACCUAGAGAGUCUGAUUGGAAAGUAUCCGAUUCAAGUGAGAAGGGAAUGUCGGUAGGGAAGCAAGUGAAUGUGGUAUGUGACCCGACUAAGGCUUUAUUGAAAGUGUUUAUGUAUGACUUGCCUCCGGAGUUUCACUUUGGGUUAUUGGGUUGGAAGGGAAGUGUGAAUCAAACGUGGCCGGAGGUGGAUAACCCUAGUCGGGUGCCACGUUAUCCCGGUGGACUGAAUUUGCAGCACAGUAUUGAAUACUGGCUCACACUUGAUCUUUUGUCAUCAAAUACUAAGAAGCAUGGCCAACCUUGCACUGCAGUUAGAGUGCGGAAUUCAAGUCAAGCAGAUAUAAUUUUCGUGCCGUUUUUCUCGUCUCUGAGUUACAAUCGGCAUUCUAAGAUACAAGGGGAGGGACAAGUUAGUGUCAACAAAAUGUUGCAGGACAGAUUGGUGAUUUUCUUGAAGGGGCGCAAAGAAUGGAAACGCUCGGGAGGGAAGAAUCAUCUCAUUGUAGCUCAUCAUCCUAACAGCUUGUUGGAUGCAAGAAGUAAAUUGGCUUCUGCUAUGCUUGUGCUUGCAGAUUUUGGAAGGUAUCCUGUUGAGUUAGCAAAUAUCAAGAAAGAUAUAAUAGCUCCCUAUAGACAUUUGGUGGCUACGAUACCAAGAGGUGAAUCACCUUCAUAUGGCGAACGAUCCACAUUGGUGUAUUUCCAGGGGGCGAUAUACAGGAAAGAUGUGAGUUUCUCUUGACCCUCAUUUUAUCUAUUUGAUGCAGCAUUACUCUAUUAUGGAAAAUGUCGUUUUAAUUUGUCAUAAAUUUCUUUCCCUGUUUUAUGCUGGUAUCUAUGAACUUCAUUGGUUAUUUGUGCUCAUUAAAAUUGAAAACUCCCUAGUUUCUGUUGUAUUAUGGGCUCGAACGCAAUGCCAAGGUGCUUUUGCUUCUUAACUAGGCAUCAGGUGGAAUAUAGAUAGAAUUAAGAACUCCUUGGUUGCAACAUUUUUUGUGUGUUAGAUAGUUGACUAGUAAAUCCUUUCGAUAUCAACCAGUAAAUAGCUCACACAUGACUAGGGGUAUAAACGGUUUGGUCAAAACCGACGAAACCGAAAAUCCAAACUGAAAAAAGUAUCCGACCUUGUCUGGUUCGGUUCAAAGCCGAAUCAAACCGGCCUAAACCGGUAUUGUUUGAUUCGGUUCUUGGUUUUUGAUUUUGAGAUCCAAAGAACCGAAAGACCGAACCGAUGCUAACUCACCCCCCAUUUUACUAAUAUCAUCCCAUGUCACACACACUCUUAAGGUUAGACCCAACAUUAAAUCCCAACAGAGAAUACUCCUUAGUCCACUCAUUUCCAUUCACUUUUAUUUUUUAUUUUUAUAGAUUUAUCACCAUUUUUAGAGAUUUAAAUUUUAUACUAAUCAACCAUUUGGAAACUCCUCUUAAUGACUGUAAGAAAAAGCUUGUCAUUAUUGACAUCAACGAGAUAAGAAAAACAAAACAUAUAUCGUCAAUGUGUUGCUUUUGUGUUUGUAGAUUAAUUGAAGACAUGAUUAGUCAUUUUGUAUAUUGUUGUCUUGUCUAGUAUCUGAGCAUAUUGAAGGCAACUUUCAUUACAAAGAUUGUUUGACACACUUGGUAAAGAGAAAUGUUAAGCUUUAACAUUUUGUUAUUUGUUUAAUAUAUUUUGUUUGUGGUUAUUUCAGUUCCACUCCAACAAAAGGUCAUAAUACCAUUGAUUUUAUAUGAUAUAUUUAUGUUCUAUUUAGUUCUGAAGUUAAAGUCAUGUAUAUGCUAAAAUGGUUUAGUUUCUUUUUUCCCAUAUGCAAGUUCUUGAUAGUACUGCACUUUUUUUACCGGUAUUUCAGAUUUAGACCAUACCAUGUGCAUUUUGUUUGUGUAGAAAUUCAGAGUUAUACUAAUCCAUUAAAUCUGAUAUUUGUAUUUUCAAAAUAUGGAUUUUUUUAAGAAAAACUGAUGAACCGAACCAAAUCUAAUCAAACCAAACUGGUUAGUUGGUUUCGGUUCAAUUUUUGAAAAACAGUAAAAACCGAACUAACCUGAAGUAGAUUUCGUCGGUUCUGACAUUUUUUUGACUGAAAGCCAAUAAGGGGGUGUAAAGGAAGAGUUUCAUCCCAAGUCCUUGCAUUCUCCACCAAAUAAGGGUGACAAAUGUUUAUUUAAAACAAAAGACGAAGUGCGUGUGUUAACUUAAUUAACCAUUAUGUGCACCUUCCUGGUUUCUAUUGUAUUAUGGGUGCGAUGUCAAGGUGCUUUACCUUCUUUACUAGGCAUCAGGUGGAAUUUAGAAUUAACAACUCCUUGUUGUUGCAUUAUUUUUGGCCUAGAUAUUUGACUAAUAAACUCAUGCAGUAUCAAGAAGUGAAUAACUCACACUAGUAAACCCAUUCGGUAUGUGUAGGCUGUGAGUCACACAGCCUACACAUACUAAUGCACUCACAGGACACCUUGGACCUGAUCAGUGCAUAAUGGCAGGAUUUGAUCCCAGGUCCUUGCACUCUUCUCAGCGUCAUCUUGUCACAGAUUUUAUGAGUAAAGAGAACUUGCACAUGAAAACAUUCUACUCUGUACCUCUUUUAGGAACAAUCUCCAUGUCAUUCUCCUCCCAAAUUUUAAAUCAGAGGAAUCUGGAUUCACCUCUCCUGAUGUAUGUUUAAAUGACACAUACAUCUCUCUAUUUUGUAAAAGAAUUUGAUUUGAUGUUCCCUUAAAUACACAUACUUUCCCUUUAUUAAUAUAGAGGAUGCGCCAUUCAAAUGGAAUAAAGGGGUGAUGUGUGACAUUUUCCCAACAAAUAAGGGUGAUGAAUGUGCAUUUAAAAAACAGAAGGGGUAUGUGUGUAGAUUGUAGAUCAAAUGUUUAUAGAACUUUUAAAAGCAAUCAAGAUAUAAAUAGCUGUGCAAUUGAGCUGAUUCUGGUAAAUAUACAAUGCAUUGAUUGAAUAUAUAGUAAUUUAGAACACGAACCAGCACAGGACGGACCGCUAUACCUUGUGUAUACAAGCUUUGAACUCUGGUGUUGCAAGUUGAUCUUGCAUUUGCAUGCUCUGCCAAUGUCAUAUAGAACUUUAAUGACUGGUUUUUUUUGCUGAUUUUAGUAUGAUUUUUUCUGAGCCUAUCUAUUGUUGUAUAUUGAGCAAAUGAUAAGGAUUACUGAACAAUUUAUUGGAAACUUAACAUUUCCUGCUAAUAUUGCUGUUUGAAAAUUAUUCUGUUGACAUGAUUUCUGCAGUUUCUUUUUAUCAAUAUUAUCCUUUAACAAUUUUAAUGUAUUCUAAUUGGUUGACUAUCAUGUUGAAACAAUAGGGAGGAGUUAUUCGCCAAGAACUGUAUUACCUCCUCAAAGAUGAGAAAGAUGUACAUUUUACAUUUGGGAGCAUAGGAGGAAAUGGUGUUAAUCAGGCAAGCCAGGGCAUGUCCAUGUCCAAAUUUUGCCUUAACAUAGCUGGAGAUACUCCGUCUUCCAAUCGACUCUUCGAUGCCAUAGUAAGCCAUUGUGUUCCCGUGAUCAUCAGUGACGAAAUUGAACUACCAUUUGAAGAUGUUUUGGACUACUCAGAGUUUUCCGUAUUCGUUCGCGCCGCCGAUGCUGUAAAGAAAGGGUACCUGCUGAAUCUUCUUCAUUCAAUCAAACGCGAGGAAUGGACCAAGAUGUGGGAAAGAUUAAAGGAAAUUACAAAUCACUUUGAGUAUCAAUAUCCAUCCCAGCCUGGGGAUGCAGUGAACAUGAUUUGGCAAGAAGUCGCGCGUAAGAUAUCUUCUAUGCAGUUCAAUUCACACAGGAAGAACAGAUACAAUAGAUCUCAGCUUCUUGUCAAGAGUAACUGAAUUACUAAGAUUCAUGUUUUAUCGGAAUAAUUUGAUCUUGGUCACAUUCAACAUAUCAAUGGGAGAGAAACAAGAACAAAUCUUGUUUCUGUUAUUUGCAACUAGCAAGCUUUGUACCCUCCCUCUUCACUCCUUUUUUUUCUUUGCCAGUGUUGCUCAUAUUGUUAAUAAAUUUUUUAAGUCAAAACAUGCUGCAUUAUUUGGUAUUUGAAUUUGGGAAAAUAAGAAAGGUUUUUUUUCUUCCCAUUAAGGGAAGGCUGCUAUUUGAAAGUAUGAUUUUACUGUUUGGUGAACAUUAUUUGGCAUUCAUUGAAUGGAAGAAACUUUUACCUUUCAUUUACCAUGUCUCAGAAUGGUAAAAAAGGAAAACUUAAUGUGUCAAUGGAAGAGUUGUGUUACUUUGACACAAAAAUUGACAUUAAAAUUCGACAAAAAACUAAAUUGUUAACAUAGUUUAAAUAUGUGGUUAUGAUUAAUAAAUAUAAGGUGUUACAAUUCAAUAACCAUUAGCUGAACACAGUUGAUCAUGAUUUUUAACGCCAUUAACUACAAUUUUUUCGGUGUUCAAAUAUAGAUUCUGUACGGUCUGGAUUCAAAUAUACACUUGGAAAUUGUGGUUAUUGGCAUUUAAAAUUAUGAUUAACCCAUUGAUUCAAAAGCGAAGAUUGUUAAUCCUCCCAUUGAUUCGAAUUUGAGCAUUGUUGAACCCGAAAUUGGUGAAUCGGAGGUUAGUAACUGUAUUAUGCUUGAAACAGGGUCAAGAUGACAAAAAAAAUGUUAUACAUGUUAUUUUCAUAUAGAAAAGAAGAAAGAGAAUUCCACUAUAUUUUGUAUAGCAUCCUUCUUUUGUAUUUGAUAGUCAAUAAUAUGAUCAAACUUUCUAUAGAAAAAACAAAAAAAUCAUCAAAAUAUCCAUCUACUGGUCUAAUAUCUUUACACAAUCAGAAUGAUGGUGAUACAAAGAUGAGCUUUUAGCUGCAAUUCUUCACCUUACACAGAAACUUAACAAAUCUAAUAAACUAACCAACCUUGGAAGAUAAUCUACUAAGAAAGGUUAUUGCCAUUUGCCAAAGCAUUUCAACUUCUAUUGUGAAUUGGGUUUGACCCUUUUUUCACUGUCCUUUUGUUUGAUUGAUUAGCAUCAAAUGUCAUUGAAGGUGAAGGUGCCAAAUCCAUCUUUGAUUCCAAACCCUCCAUUGCAUCACCCUUUAAGACAUGAGAAAUUUGAACAAGAUCUUUUGUUCUCAAACCACAUGCAAUGUAUGGUUGAGAAGCUAACAUCCAAACACAAACUAAAAUAAAGAAUCCUCUCAAAACUAAGAAACUCAUGUUCUUUUACUAAUGAAAAUUUGAAGAAACAAAACUAGAAAAAUGAAAGUUACUAACCUACUUCUUAUUGUUCAUGAUGAUAUAUUUUCUAUGGGAUUUGGAAGUUGUAAAGCAAAAAGCAUAGAACAAUAUAUGUAGCUAGGGAAGUUUUAGAUUCACUCCAAUCAUAAGCAUGCUAUAGAAGCAAUCAAUAUAUAAGGCUGUUUUAGAAGACUGACAAGUUUGAAUAAAAAGUUAAAUGGAACAAUAUCCUAUGGAAGACAAGUAUCUUUUCAUUCAUCAGUUUUCCUAAAUUCCUUUCAAUUGUGAUUUUCUUGCUCUUUUCAUCCAAACAAAGACCAAGCUUUAUCUAGUACUAACACUUUGUUAUUAUGCCACGUCAAUUUUACCUUGUUUACAUGUUCUUGUACCAUACUUUGAAGAUUUGCUAAUUCAUGAGAUAAAUUAUUCUCUACGUAUUGCCUAGUUAAACAAGCAGCCUUCUGCAUUGAUUUUUUUUUUCCAGGUAGUCUAGUGGCUAGAAUUCACCUUAUAAGGUGAAUAAAUGGGAUGUCUGGGAUUUGAACCCCGACCCCUGCAUAUAAUAAUGCAUUGUCCACCAACUGAGCUAUGUUCACGGGACCCUUCUGCAUUGAUUUUAUUGGAACAUUUUGUAUCUCUAAAACGUUCCAUUAUAAAUUGAGCGGGUUAAAAUCUUAUGUUUUGUUUGAUUUUGAUUACAUGACGUGGAGAUCGAAUCCUUCAACAAAUAUUUGGAUUUUGUAACAAAAAAAAGCCGUCAAUUUAGUUAGGAAAUUAUAUUAAAAACUUAUCUCUAAAAUAUCAAUCUCUCAAAUUUAGUAAUUAAGUAUAUAAAGAUUAUCCUUAAAAAAAAAAAGUAUAUAAAGAUUAAAAAGUAAUCCCUAAAAUACAUGAUAAAUUAUGGUAUCUAUAUAUAAAGAAAACUAUCCCUUUCGUCACUUUUGGGUUGAAUUUUUCUUUCCAAAAAUAUCCUCAAUUUUCAAUACAAAUAACACAUGUAACGAAUGGAUAAGAAUAAAUUUAAAUAUUAAAAUAAAUGUAUAAAACACGAUAUGAAUAUAUAUAUAUAUAUAUAUAUUUUUUUUAUUUUUAUUUUUAUCAUUUAAAAAUUGUAACAAACUAGAUGAGUAUAUUUAUACUUACUUUUUCAUCAUUUCAAUUAUACCCUUAAACAACUUUUCUAUAAUAAAAUUGUUGUUGGUGUCAUUAAAAAAAAAAGAAUUUAGAUUAUAUUUUUUUGUUAUAUUAUCGAUGUCAUUAAACUAAAAUAAUCAUGAUUAAUUUGGUUUGUUAUAAUUUGAAAGCAACAAACAUUUAUAUUUUUAGUCUUAAUCAAAAUUUCAUAAAAAAACACUGUUGAUAAUUUUCGCCUAUGAAUCAUAAUGUUUACCUUAGUGGAAAUAGUUUAAAAGUUAAAACAAAUAAUAGGCGUCACCCAAAUUGGCUUGGUGUAGCAACCAAAACAAAAUAAAAGUACAAGUCAGAGAUUCAUUUAGAAUGUUAUUGCCAAAGAGACAAGAAAGACAUCAAAAGUAGAGAAUUUUGGAAGAAGGUAGGGAAUAGAAACCACUCUUGAAAAUACAGACCAACCAAUACCAGGCUUUCAUGUUUCCAGCACUUUUUUUAUCCUAACAAUCUUUAGAAUUCCAAGCUCUUCAAUCUAUGCCAUAAAAAAACGUAGUCAUGGUUCAUUGUGCUAAAUGGAAUUCCUUUAUGCCUUUUUUUGUUUUUGUUUUAAUUAAUUACUACAUUAAAGAAUUGUGUAUAGUGAUAAAAUUCACUAAAAUGAUUUUCUUUAGUCUUAAUUUAUUUAUUGUUAUGUUAAUAAGUGUUUUAGGGUAUUGUUUAAGAAAUCUAUUUAAAGAAGUAUCAACAAUUAUAUUUAGACAUCUGAAAUUCUCAAACACUCAUUUAACACCUCAUUUUUAUCUUUAUGUCUAUCAUCCUAUCAAAUCAUCAACCUAUCACGAUUAUCAUAUCACUCUCUCCUAUCUCUUUUUCUAUUAAGGUGUAUACACAUUUGGGGUGUCCUGGUGUCCAAAACAAAAGAAGAGUGGACCAAGUCAACUCUACCAAAAAGAUCCGACACAGGAAAUCAGAAGACAUAUUUCCCAAAAUUCCGCCCAAGAGCACCCAAGAAAGCCCCCCAACACAGACGGUUAUCAACUCUAGUAGAAAACUAGCUCCACCACAUACUCGUAGUGAGAACAAGGUGAAUCAGGGUGACUCCCAAAAAAACCAAAACCACAAAGAGAAUUGGAUCUUUGAUUCCUCCACAUCUAGUGCUCCACCAGAAAACACAAGGUUAUUACGGGCUGUCAGAUAAACACACAACAAUAUGCGAGAUCAAAAAAAGUCAUGCUUAACAUUAUCUCUCCCAACAAACCCAAGGAUCCCCUAAAAAAUACAAACCAAAUCCCAAGGCAAAACAAAAAAUCUACCUAGCCACCUAAAAAUCCUACACCAUACCUCAAAGGCAACCUUAUACAUAACAAAUAGAUGAUCCACCUACUAAUUUGAAACCCCAUAAAGAGCACAAAUCACACGCGCUGGAUCGGUAAUAACACCUACACUUUUAAAGGGUCCUAACUCUUCCACACUCUCGCAAGCAGAUGGGCCAACUUGACACUUUACCUCCCUCUCCCCCAAAACUGCCAACAAGAGAGAUCCGUACGAAGACCAAAUUGAAUACACCCCUUUAUAAGAAAACCUCCAUGACCAAGAGUCGUCCCAACCAACAGCACCUUGCAUCGAACACAACCAAUAACUCAACAACUAAGGCUUGUUUUUGGACAAAAAGCCUCCGUCUCCACCUUAGAUCCAAAAAUGUCAAGUAAAGAGGAGGAUCAAAUGUAAAAUCAUUGAAAAUAAGGGGGUCAAAAUUUUUAAAAAAGCCAUAGGAGGACAAAAUUGUGGAUUUAAUAAAAUAGAGGACUACAUUUAGUCAAAUAAUUAAUAUAAACCAUAUCCACAAAUCUCUUAACUACUAGACCAUCCUCUUUGGCAAAGUAUGUGGAUAUGAAGUAUCAUUUAUAUAAAAAACAUUGCUUAGGAAAUGGAGGAGGAAGUCUUGCCUAGUUCUAAAGAUUUCACUACACCAUUUAGACAACCACAAAUAUACAUUUCAUUUAAUUAUUUAAAACAUAGAUAUUAUUUAAUUAUUUUCUCUUAUCCGUUUAGGUUAGUCUGAUAGUGUUGACUUAAGAUCUUGGAGUGUGCUCCUCGACCUUGAAGUAUGCUCCUCUCAAAAUCACAAGAUCGAUUCCCCCAAUGGUAAUUUUGGUGGAUUAGUUUAUCUUAAAAAAGAAUUAUUUUCUCUUCAUAUCUUUUUCUCAAUUGCGUAUGUGUAACCAAGUAGAGAGUGUAGUUCUUGUGACCAAAUAAAUAUUUUUUGGAAUGGAGAUACUUUACUAUGCAUACUCUCUAUUGAAGUAGCCGCUGACUUUUAACAUUAAAAUAAGAGGAGGUCAUAGAUCGCAUAAAACAUUGUCUUGGUCUUGGUUCAUUUUCUUUUUUUGCAUUAUUCGGGAAGAAAGAAAGGAAUAAAAAUUUAGUAGUAUUUUCGAAUUGAUAUAUUGUAGCACUAUGACAUGAUAUAUUUUGGCUCAUUUGUGUUCUCAUUGAGAUGGUGUUGGAAAACAUACUUUGCCAAGUUGUUUUUAUGUUAGUUCAGGGUGGGUGUUUGUAGGUUAAGGUCUUUAUAGUACUGAUUUUAUUUGAGGUGUCAUAAAAUCUCUUCCAUCGCAUGUGCGAUUUGAGAAAGUCUUGGGUAGGCAUACACAUAAAUCUACAAAAUUAAAAGAUAAAUUAAAUAGUCACAUCAAUCAAUAUCAUUUUAAUCAUUUUUUUUUUUAUAAUUUUUUUAACUUCAUGGACAUGUGCCUAAAUGUAAGAUGUUGGUCCUGUGAUCAAGUAAGAGUUUCUCCUACAUUUUACUGGAUUAGUGGCUGACAUUGGAUUUUCCCCUCAAAUAUUCAAAUGUGUGGAACUCUAAUGUGGAUUCCCUAACAUAUAGUUCCUUGUUGAAGGUUUAAUAAACCAUUUUUCAACACAAUUUCUACAUUUGUGUCGUUGACCUAUAUUUAAAAACACUGGUUAACAUUUUGCAAUCAAUUUAAACUAGAGAAAGACAAAUAACAAAGACAAUUUAUUAAUUAAUAAUAGCAAAGCCAGUUUAGUAAUCAAUCAGCCCUCUUGUUUAAGAGAGAGGUUACAUACAUAUUUCUUAAUUGAAGUUAACGAUUUCAUUAACUUCAUUACAGAGAACAAUUAUAUUUAGUCCCGAUGAUAACCUAUUAGUCGAAGAUACUAUGAGUCCAUUUGAGUUGGUCUGGUAGUUUUGAUUUGAGAUUUUAAAAUGUACUUCUCUUAAGAUCUCAACUAUGGUUCUUCCUGAAUUUCAAUGACUAUUUUGCUUUCUUCAAAAUAAAAGUAGAAGAUGCUAUAUGGCAAAAAUAAAUAUUAUGUGGCUAUAGUUCCACUUCUUUGAUUAAUACUAUUAAAUCGUACUAAAUUAAUGAUCAUAAUUUGUUUCACUUUCAAGGGCAUUUUGGUCCUCCACGCUUGGUCUUCCAAUUGUUGUAACAGGGACACACAGAUUUGUUACCAUAAUAGCCAGGAGGAACACAGAGACAUUUGGCACAACAUUUUUGACAGAAGAACAUGCAUGGCUUGUGAUAUUGUGUCUGUCCACAUCUUCUUGUGCAUUGAGAUGGACACUCUGAUCAAAUCAAUUUCACAAACAUAAAUCCAUUAGAUACAAUGUCUCAGAUUAAUUGAUUAUUGUUACUUGUUUUUUGUUGAGCAUACAAACAUAAAUAUAGGUCAAUAAUGGUCAAACAUAUAUAUUCUUUUUAAAUUACUUGGUGUAUUUUACUAGCUAAAAGUUUUUAUUAGGUCACCUUUCAAGAAUUUUGGGUAAUUUAUCCACCAAAGAAUGAAAAUUAGCCACAUAAACAAAUAUGUAAGUGCAGUUAAAAUUAGUUUGCAAGUAUGAUUAGGUAAAGUGGCAAGUGCAUUCUGUGUGUCCAAUAGGAAAAAAAGUAAACAGUAAUUUUAUCCUAAGAUAUAUAUUUAAGAAGAGUGUUAGAAACAUUUUAUUUUUAAUGUUUCUCUAACAUUGAUUUUUUUAAUGGAUGAAAUCAAUAAAAUCUAUACUUUGAAAAUGAAUCACACCAAAAAAAAAGGUGGAAUUCAUAUACAUUUCAAUCAAUAAAUGAGUAAAUGUUUGAGACGGUAUUAAAAAGAUAGCAUUCUUAACCUUUUUCUAUUUUCGAUUAUAUUUUUUUAUUCCAUACAUGACGAAAUUUCUUUAAAUUGCAUCUUUCAUUUAUAGACACAAGUACUAAAAUGACUAUUUUACUCUAAAAUAUGAGAGAGAUUUCAAAAACAAAGAAUAAGUGGGGGUUGAAACUUAGAAGAAAAAUUAAGUACAAACUAAAUUUAAAUCAAAGAAAUUUUAUAAAUAUUAAAAGAGUUUUUCUAUCAUAUGCAAGUUUGCAUAUGUUAAGAAGUUAAAAAAGUAAGGUUGUAUUGAAACCUGUUCAUUUAAUAUUAAAUAUGUAUAUUUUUAAUAAAUAAUUGUGGUUUUCAAUAAAAAGUUUUCACUUUCAGUUAUUUUAAGAUGUGUAAUAUUGCACAUAUUAGACAUACCUAUGUUUCACAGUAAUCCAUAAAAAGCAUGUUUAACUGUCUCAUAAUUAAAGAAAUUUAACGAGUUAAAACUAUAAGAGUUCAUAAUGCAACUUGCAAGGCCACAUCUUUAUGUACAAAAUUAAGUUGGUCUACAAAAAUGGAGUAUGAAUAUAUGAUUUACUCACGGUAACUUUGUAGACUCCCAGGUCCAUAAUUCCCCUGUAAAUAAAUCGAAAAAAAUUAGUAAAAAAACUAAUUUUAAGUAAAAUUUAUGCAACUUUUGCAAAAUGCCUAUAAAAGGAACUAGGAAAGAAGUGGAGAAAGGAUACUCACACUGCCAUACUGAGCUGCAUCUUUAGCCAUAACCUGCAAAAUGUAUAGGAAAUUUUUAGCAAGAUUAUUCUUUUAUUAUGAUUAGAGUAUCAUACAUAACACAACAAUGAUACACAUUCAUGUAACAUGGUUGUGUGUUGAGUUGUUUUAGAAGGGGACUAACCUGAGUUGUGAUCAUGGCAAUGCAAAGGAGUGCUAGAAACAGAACACAAACAAGCUUAGCCAUGGCUUUGGUUCAAGAUAAUGAAUGAGGUGAGGGGCCUCUGAUUUUAAGAGUUCUUAAUGGUUUGGUGUGUUUGGUCUGGAUCAGAUAGAGGGGUUGUAUGGACUAUAAAUAGGAAAAGUGGAUGAUUGAUGUACCCAAGAAGGGUAAAUUUUGGUGGGAACACACCCCAUUUAUUAUUUAUUUAAUAUAUAUAUUUUCAAAAUGUUAAAAAUUAUUUAUUUUUAAAUUAAUAAAGCAAUGGUGGCGGGAGGCGGUGACUACGAUAGGGCUAUAGGAGUUUUGCCGUCGACCACCAUGGCAUGCCAGAGCACUGAUGCCGGUUGUCGCGAGGCCACCUAAGCUCCUUUUGAAAUGUCAUCAAACCUCUUCCGACAGCUGACCAAUGAUAGAGUGUCAAUAGAUGAAUGUAGACCUAUCAUUACUCAAUGAAAAUGAAAAACAAUUAUAAUUUUUUUUUAAGAAUGACAAAAGAAAAAAAAAACCCUAAAAACAAAGUUCAAUGUAGGGUAUCAAGCCUCAACACCGACUUCAACUCCGAUGGAGGAGUCUGUCAAAUGGUCACACAUAAUCUAGAAGAGCGACCGGGUUUUGCCAAAAUAUCUGGGCAAUGGUUGAGUGAUCCGGAUCUUGAAGAAGAUGGAGAACUUUUAAAGAAUAUGUUUCACAAAUAACUCGCUGAAUAGAGUUGUUAAUUACCAACAUCAAACCUUGGUAAACCCCAAAUAGCUCAACAAAAAACACACCCCUACCCCUCAUUAGAAGAGAAUCCAACUAUCCACUUUCUCUUGUUGUCACAAAGUAAACCACCAAAACCAAUGUCACCGGAAGCACCACAACUUCCAUCAAUAUUCAACUUAGCACAUCCAUCUUGAGGUAGGGUCCUUCUAACAAUGUUUCGAUUAAUGUGGUGCUUAGAGGAGUGAAUAUUAAUAGAAGUUAUGUGGGUACACAUAAUGUUUAUAAAAUGAAUGAUAUUUUGGAUUUUCCAUCGUUUGUCUCCAUGAGUAUAAUUAUUUCUAAAACGCCAGAUCCACCAAAUAGUUAUUGCAAGCAUGUUACCCAAAGAUCCUUUAGACACAGUUUGUAACCAUAUUUUCAAAGGAUGUGAAGCUAAAGAAAUAUGGAUGAUUAACACUACAUAUAUGUUUCCAAACUUCAUUCGAUGGAGAAAAUUCCCUAUGACAGUGAAGCACAUCUUCAUCAUGCGUUCAACAUCAUUGGCAAAUAUGAGAAGUUACCAAGUUGUAGUGAUGUCGAAGCUUGUUUGUUGGGAUCACAUUGUGCAUCCAAAGCCAAGGGAAAUGUUGCACCUUAGCUGAAAUUGACAAUUUUCAAAUUCAAUCUCAACUUUCAUUAUCAUUCAACUCUCUAUAACGAGGUAAAAGCCACCUAUAUGUUGUAGAGCAAAAAUACAUUUCUGUUUGAGAAGCUCCCCAAACCCAUAUAUCCUGAAUAUUAUCAUCAAAUGCCAAAGGUGGGGGAAAUUGAUCAACAGUCGUCAUGAGCUCGUUUGAAACGAUUGUCAUUAGUUUAUUCCAAUCCCAUGAUCUAAUAAAACUAACAUCCUUAAGCUAUAAUUAUGUAUCCGAAAAGUUGACAAAAUCAAUCAAGUAACAAAGCGAUCCUAACCCCAUCCAGCUAUCAUACAAAAAUGAGAAGGAUCUGUCACCGAUGCAGAAUUGAAAGCAUUGUCUCAAGACUUCCAGAUUGGCGAAAAAUUUACUUCAUCUUUAAUGUUCCAAAUGUCUCCCCGUUUUAUGUACUUGUGAGAUCCAAAGAUUAUGAGGAUCAAAAAGAAGUUCCAAACUAACUUCCCAAGAAGAUCAAUAUUAGAUAGUCUAGCUUCCCUAAUAGUGAGGCCUCUAAAUUUAUUAGAGGAAGUAACAAUAGACCACUUAACUCUAUUCCACUUCCUAUUACGACCUGUGUCAUCCCAAAUACAUAUUUUUGUGACUCUAUCGUCUUAUCAUAAAUAUUUGUAGGUAAAUAAUGCAUUUACAUAACAUAAAUAGACAUUGUUGUAGUAACCGAUUUAACUAGGCAACCCCCCCCCCCCCCCCACACACACACACGCUUUAUUAAGGAGAUUACCUUUUUAAGUUGAGAGUCUUCUAUGCAUCUUCUAUUGAGAGUCUUCUAUGCAUCUUCUAUAAGAUAUAAUCAUAUGUAUCAUUGAUAAACUUGUAUCAAAGGAAAACCCAAGUACUUCCCCCAAAUUGGCCACGAAAUGGAUAGAGGAGAUUUCUUAAUACUUCGUUUAACACUCUUAUGCACUCUCUUAAAACACAUAGCCUUGGACUUUAGGACAUUUACUUUCAUACUAGAAGGAAUACAAAACUCAUUUAAGGUGUCCAUCAUCACUUUAGUUUGACCUGGUGGCCUCACAAAAGAGAAGAACAUCAUCAACAAAACAAGGUGAGACUAACCUGGAACUUUAUGAGAUUAAUGCAUGUUUUGAGAACAAUAGUAAAGGAAUCGCAAAUAAUAAUUGUUACCAAAAUUCGAAAUUAAAAUAAAAUGCACUAGGUUCGAAAUUGAAGUAGCAGAUAUGAUAAUUGAAAUUAUAUGGAAUAUUGGGUUAAAUAUGUUUUUAGUUCCUCUUGUUUUUUAAUUUUACUUUGUCUUUUAAAAGUUUUCUAUCACCAUAUUUCUAGUCUUUGCUUUUAAAUCAACUCAUGUAUGUCAUUCAAAUUUUGAAUAUUUUUUCGCAGCCAUGUUUAAUACAUUAUAAACUCUCUCGCAAAAAUUUAUUUAUUUUUUAAACAAAGGAUGAAUUAAAUGUUUUUUUAAUGUUUUUGGCGCUUAAGAUUCAUAUUUAAUUCAUGUUUCUUAGAAAAUUAUAAUUUUUUUUGGAGAUAUUUUUAUAAUAUUCUAAACAUUGCUGCAAAAAUUCAUUAAAAAAUAUGAAGGGCGCACAUGAUCACAUGACUUAAAAGAAGACCAAAAGUGUGGUCCGAAAACUUUUGGAGGACUAAAUAUUGAUUUUUUUUUAAGGGGUUAAAACAAAAAGGUGAAAUACUUAUAUAGAUCAAAAACAUAUUUAACCAUACCUUUUAUUAUUUAUUACUCUACCUUCAUCCAGUUCUUUUAAUUUAUCAUUUUUAUGUCAUUAAUAAAAGAUAAUUUUGUAAUAUUAUCCAUAAUUUCAUUUUUUUUCAUAUAUAAUUAAUUACAUUUCUAAAUGAGAAAUAAUAUUUCCACAACUAUUUUAAGACAAAAUUUGAAACAACUUUUUUCCCUCUUUUCUUGGGAGAAAAAUAAUAUAGAGAGAAAGUAAGGACACAAUGAAAAUAUGAAGGAGUUGUCCUAGGAUAAUUGUACAAAUAUCUUAUAAUUUCAUUUUUUUUCCAUACAUAAUUAACUUCAUUUCUUUUUAUUAAUGCGUGUAAAAAUGACAUACAAUAAAAUAUAGAGUAAAAAUGAUCGAGAAAAAUGUGCAAAUGAAUGCGAUAUUUUUAUUAAAUUAUCUUUUAUAUAUUGAUAUAAUCUCAUUAUAAUCAAUUGAGAAAUACAGUGGAUAUCUCCCAAUAGUGACAAGAUGAGAAAGAGGUUAAUACUUUGAAGAUAUUGCAUGGGAGGCCGAUCACAUGGGUAGUUGGGGGAGUUGUGGGGUCGAAAAGGAUGAGGCAUGUUAUUAUAAUUGAAUUGAAAGGGAAAUAGGCAUAAGCCAUGUGCUCUAGUGGAUUUGCACAUCAUCUCAUAGAGAGGUCAAAAGAAGGACACGAGGGUGCGCCAUGAACAGUACUAUCGAACUUCCACAUGAAUCGAGCACAAUAGGAGUGUUGUUGUUCAUAGAAACACGUAGAAAUGGCUAAAAAAUUCAACGGUAGUUAACUACUUUCAAAUUUUUAUUUAUAAGUUGGUAGUAGUUAAUUACUGUUGGAAUUUUUUUUUAUCAUUUCCAUGUAUUUUUAGAAAAUAAUGGAUGUGAAAACAACAAUUUUCGCACAAUAGACUAUUAGAUGAACUUCAUCUCUUAUGGACUCUCUAUUUUUCUAUAGGCCUUUUUUUCAAAUGGUUAGGAAUUUUGCUCAUUUCACUUCAAAAAUUUCUCGUUUUUUUUUUACAAAAUUCAAAAAUUUCUCUUUUAACACCUAAAAAAAAAAAUACUAAAAUACCUGUAGCGGCAUUUAACUGCCGUUGGGGCCCUCAACGUUAGUUAACCACCGUUAUACUAACUACAGUUAACUGUCCUUGAAUUCUAACGUCAAUUAACUACCAUUGCACUCUAGUAACAUGGGCAGAACAACAUUAUAGACCGAAUUGUUUAGCUUUAGGUUGUGUUUUUGAUGAUGUGCUUUAGGUUGUGUUUUUGAUGAUGUUAGUUAGAUGAUCUUAGACGAUGUUUGUUAGAUAUUUUUUAUAAUUGUUUUCUUUUGGUAUUAUUGCUUACAACUAUGUUAAAGCACCUAACAAACCAUGCCUAAUUAUACCCUGUGACUCCUAAUGUCUUUUGUGUUUAUGUGCUUAAGAAUCCUCAUGUGUGUGUGUGUCAAAAUCCUUUUUCUAGGCAUUUGAAUCGAGUCAAAUAUUUGUGAAUUGAGUCAAUAUUCAUUUGGAAACAUUUGAAUCGAGUCAAAUAUUUUUGAAUCGACUCAAAUGUUGACAGCAUCAAAUUUUCCUUCUUCCCUGCUUAAAUCGAUUCAAAUUUCAGUGAAUCGCAUCAUAAAAUUUUCUGACUUUGAUUGAAUCGAUUCAUAAGAGUUUGAAUCGUAUCAAUCUUCAUCUGGGGAUAUUUGAAUCGAUUCAAAAAGUGUCUGAUGCGUAUAAAUCUUCAUAGCUCAUAUGGCUUGUCAUUUAGCUGUCUAAAUCGAUUCACACAUUAAGUGAAUCGAUUCACUAUGUUGUUUUUGGCCGAAAUUUUGCACCUCCCACCCUUUUCUAUAUAUACACACUUCCUCGUAACACCCAAAACAUUGAAUCAUUUGCAUCUAUUCUCUCUAGGUCUCAAAAACUCAAUUGUUCAUAAAUUCUUCAAGAUUAAACACUUUUUCUUAGAAUCACUUUGUACAUUGAGUUACACUGAUUUGCUAGGGUGCUUAUAGGGAUUGUAAGUUGGUUCUUUCAAGGGAAUUGGUUGGACUUGAAGGUUCCAAAGUGAAGUGAAUAACCUCAUUCCACCUCCAAAGGGCUUUGGGGUCUUUCUAACUGUUCUUGAAGUCAAAGGGGAUUCCUUAACCAGACGUAGCAUCGAAGAUUUCAGUGAAGAGUUCGAAGGAGUGCACAGGUAAUCAAGGAUUUGAAGAUUCAAGGAGCACCAAAUUCAAAGGUUAUUUGAAGUUUGGGGGAGUGUUUGCAUAGGGGUUGAAGAAUUAGUUUAAUUUCAAGGAACCCUUGUGAACACAUUGUAUUCAACAUUGUUACUAUUUGUGGACGGACCAUAGUAUUUGGAAGAGAAAACAAAACUGCAGUAGGGUAGCUUAUCUAAAAAAAAAAACUGAGAUUAGCGUAAGGGGGGAAGUGCUUUUACUCAUCGAGCAAUUAAGGGAGGUUGAUGUUUUUUCCAAACUAGAGUGAUGUGAGUGUCUUUUAAUAAAAUCUUAGGGGAGGUGAGUGAAAUUUACUCUUAUUAUUAGUAUUUUAUAGAAGGGGGUACGAAUAGAAUUUCUUCUCAACACCAGGGUGUGGAUAGAAGGUUUGCUGAGUAAAAACAAUAUCUCCGUAUACUGGGCUGGAAAUGACCCAAUGAAGGAGUUUCCCCAAUUUAAAUAACUGACUGCAGCAGAAAGAAGGAGGUACAGAAAGUAUACUGGUUCUUGUCUACUUUUUCUAUUGAUUCAAGUUCUAAAAACAAAAGUUAUUCACUUACUCGUCCAUAACUAAAAUCUUAGUCUCUAAAUACUCAUAGUAAACUACUAUUAUUUCAUAUUACUCCUAAAUCAAAUAAGUACAUGUAAAUUUUCACACCAUAACAAAUACACAUAUGAGGAAAAAGAAUCACAAUAUUACUAAGAUACCAAGAUAAUUAUUUAUAAAAUAAAUAAUUAAAUACGAUGAUAGAUGAAAAUAAUUAGAAUGAAAUAUGUACACUUAUUAUUAAUUCACACAAAGUCACAACAAUAAGAAAGUUAUAUGUACAAAUAAAAUCACCUAAAAUAGUAACGAAAGAUAUAUACGACAAACAUAUAUUUUGAUAUAUGGAAAUUUAUUAUGGUAAAUUUGGGGUGUUACAGAGGACACUCAUAAUCGGCCUUAGAGGUGGAGGUUACAAGUGAAAGAUAUACUGAGAAUGCAUUUGAAAGUGGAUGUGGAGAAAUCUUAGCUUGAGGUGGAGUCUUCCACAAUUGGGAUUAAAAGGAAACAAAUGGUGGCAUCAGAAUGAUGCAACUAUGUAGUCGUUGUGUGUUAUCCUCUAGUUGAGAGCAAUAAAUUGUUCGAAAGGCAGAUAUACGCAUUUAAGGGGUUGAAGAAAGUAUGGAAUAACUAAUAGGAUUACGUAAAAUCCAAGGGUAAUUGAGGCAAGUGAAUCUUCAAGAGUGAGAAAAUGAUCACUCCAAAAGUUGAAGAGGUUAUGGUGAAGUAACUAAACAUCAUAAGGUAGUUGGUAAGAAAGUGAGUCUCCUCGAAUUUGGGUAUGUAUAAUCACUCUAGGUUGGUUGUUUCUAAUUUUGCUCCACAUAUCACUAGACACUUUGUAUUCAUUUCAACAAUAUCUGGCAUAUGCAAGUGUUCAACGUGUCUUCAAACUCCUUCUUUCAAUGCAGUUUUUACCUUUAUACUGGGCUGAGCUAUACAAGUGUUAGUUUGUAUUUGAUCAUGAUACAAAGUCAUGCUAGGAGUUUAAAGUCUCGUAUACAUAUUGUUACAAAUAAAAUUUUAAGUCAAAAGUUUAAAAUAAAAUUGAUUAUAUACAAGAUAAUAUAAAAAUUCUCAGUGGAUAGAAUUACAUUCAUUAGAUGUUCUUGGCUUUUCAUGAUAUAGUUUAAGAACAUGCGUUUUUCUAUCACAACUACUUUACCAUUUAUGGGUGUUUAUCAAAGCCACAUACUGAACUUCAAAUCCCCCUUAUAACAAGAGGAAAGACUUUCUUCACAUGAAUCAGUUAUACCAAUGAGUGAGUGACAAUACACAACAAAGGAUAUUUGAAGAUAUAAACCAGAGAUUUAGAGGCUCUUUUUGGGUUUCUUUAAUCCUGAGAAAUCAAUUUGUUUUAACCGGGACAUUCGUCUUUACUGUUGUUACAAAAUAAAGAGGAAGAAGAAGUUACUUGUGAUACAAGUAACUUGAGCAAACCCUAACAAACUUCAACAUGCCAGCUGUAUUUCUGUUAUGACCAGUUAGAGGAGUUGUGUUACUAUUUAGUUAGUGUAUGAUGGAUAUAAUGUACUCUCAUUAGCUUAUAAAUAGGUGCUUGUACAUUGUAACAGAUUCAUUCAUUCGAUAAUACAUUUUUCCCCUUUCUAUUCACUUUACUUCUCUCAUUUUGAGUUUCUUAUUAUGGUAUCAGAAGCCUUCUCUUUGGAGAAGGUGGUUACGAUUAAGUUACGCAUCAUUUCCGCAAUGGAUGCGUGAUUCUCAAGCUUUCUCAAGCUAAUUUCUUCUUCUUCUUCAAUUUUUCUUUCUUGUUGAAGAUUCUUCAAUCUUCUCUACUUUCUUUUCGUUUUUCCUUGUGUUGAUUCCUGAAUCUUCCAUUCUUUUUUUAUUCUUCACCGAUCAAAUGAUGGUGCGUAAUCAAGAUCCAACACAAGAUCUCUCUUCACCUUACUAUGUUCAUCCCAGUGAUGGACCUCAUUCAGUUUCAAUCAAGCCUCAGUUGAACACGUCCAAUUAUCAAGCUUGGGCGCGUGCUAUGCGUAGAGGUCUUGGUGGCAAGAACAAAUAUCAGUUUGUAGAUGGAACAAUUCCUCCUCCUACAUUUGAUGAUUUGAAUUUUUCUGCAUGGGAAAGAUGCAAUAAUCUCAUUCACUCCUAGAUUAUGAACUCUGUUUAUGAUAAUAUUGCACAGAGUAUUGUGUAUAUUGACAACGUUUAUGAUGUUUGGAAAGAGUUAAAGGAGCAUUUUAGCAAAGCUGAUCGCAUUCUUGUUUGGAAGCUCAAGUCUGAGAUCAAUAAUCUCAAGCAAGGUACUAGUUUUGUCAAUGAUUAUUAUACUGAAUUGAGAUCCCUCUGGGAAGAGUUUGAUAGUCAUAGACCUACACCUUCAUGCGUUUGUCCUCAGAGAUGUGUAUGUGCUUCCAUUCGAAAUGUUAAAAAAUUUAGACAUGAGGAUCAAGUGAUUCAGUUUUUGAGUGGUCUUGAUGACAAUUUUUCAAUUGUUCGCACUCAAAUUUUGCUUAUGAAUCCUUUACCCCCUCUCAACAAAGUGUAUUCAUUAGUGGCUCAAGAAGAGAGUCAUGAAGGUAUUGAUGUUGUUGAUGACAGUAAAGUUUUGGUUAAUGCUGUUGAAUCCAAGAAACCAUAUGGUAGAGGUAAGGGAUCCAUUCCUCAGGGAAGGAAAGGUAGCAGACAAUGCAGUCUUUUCUUGCCUUAAUUCAAUCAUCUAAGAUUGCAUCUCCUCAGCAUAUGGUAAAUCAGGUCAGCACUUCAGUUUCAACUGGUCAUACAUCAAUUGAAGCUUCUACAUCAGGUAAUGCUUAUUGUUCUUUACCUAUUUCACAUUGUCUGGUCUGUGUUAAAACCAACUCUUGGAUAUUAGAUUCAGGAGCAAGUGAUCAUAUUUGUUCCUCUUUGAAAUGGUUUACUACAUAUUAUACCAUUGAGCCUACCAAUGUUAAACUUCCAAAUAGUAAUAUUGUUGUCACAAAUAUAGCAGGCACCAUCAAUCUCACACCCCAUUUGGUUUUACAUAGAGUUUUAUACCUCAAAGAUUUUUCCUUUAAUUUGAUUUCAGUAUCAAAAUUGUGUUCCAGUUCAAAUUGCAUUUUGCAUUUCUUUGAUAAACAUUGUGAAUUUCAGGAUAUGACCUAUCACAAGAAGAUUGGUUUGGCUGAUCUAUGUGAAGGAUUGUACAAACUGAAGCUUGAAGAUAGCAUUCCAAGGGUUAUGUCUGUCUCUAUUGCUGAUCCAAAUAUCAUUCCCUCCACAACUCUUUAGCAUUAUAGACUAGGGCAUUUAUCCCAUUCUAGAUUAGCUAUUAUGAAUAAACAGUUUCCUUUCUUGCAAACUGAUCCCACUUUAGUAUGUGAAACCUGUCAUUUUGCUAAGCAAAAGAAACUUCCCUUUUGUAUAAGUACCAAAAGAGCUAUCAAUAAAAUGGAUAUUUUGCAUUUUGAUAUUUGAGGUCCUUUAUCCAUUAAGUCUAUUCAUGGUCAUAGUUAUUUCUUGACCGUUGUUGAUGAUUAUAGUAGAUUUGUAUGGAUCAUUUUAUUAAAAUCAAAAUCAGAAGUUCAAAUACAAGUUCAAAAUUUUAUACUUUUUGUAGAAAAUCAAUUUGAAUGUAAAGUCAAAAUUUUCAGAAGUGACAAUGGUCCUGAAUUUGAUUUACAACAAUUUUAUGCUUUAAAAGGGAUUUUGCAUAAAAAAAAAAUCAUGUGUUGAAACUCCCCAACGAAAUGGGUGAGUAAAAAGAAAGCACCAACAUAUUCUUAAUGUUGGAAGAGCUCUUCUUUUUCAAUCUAAACUUCCUAAUUUUUUUUGGUCAUAUGCUCUUGUGCAUGCUACCUACAUCAUAAAUAGACUUUCCUCUUCAAUUUUAAAGGACAAAUCUCCUCAUCAACUUCUUUUUAAUCAAAAUUCUGACUUUGAUAGUUUUAAAGUUUUUGGUUCAUUAUGCUUUGCUUCAACUCUUUGUUCUCAUAGAACUAAACUUGCUUCUAGAGCAAGAAAGAGUGUUUUUCUUGGUUAUAAAACUGGUAUCAAAGGAUUCAUUAUUUUUGAUUUGCAUACUAGACAAAUUUUCAUUUCCAGAAAUGUUGUUUUUUAUGAACAUAUUUUACCUUAUGAAACUGAUUCUGAAAAUCAACAUUCCCAUCCUUCUGACCCUGAAUUUACUAUUGAAAAAUUGCCAAUAUCUGUCCCACCUGUAGAGUCUCAUAAUCAUGAUUCCAUUUUUGACUCUCCUUCCAUCAUUCCUACUGAUCACAAUGAUCUUCCUAUUCUCAAUCAAAAUCCUCCUAUACCUAAUAUACCUGAUCCCAUAGAUGUUGUUGAGCCUGUUCCUGAUAUUAAAAGAUCAGAAAGAGUUAAAACCAUUCCUGCUAAACUUCAAGACUAUGUUUAUAACUCCUUCACCGAUCAAUCAACUUCAUCUUCUUCAGGUAGUCUAUAUCUCUUGUCUAAUUUUACUUCUUCUCAUAAUCUUUCUUCUUCACAAUCACACUUCACUUUAUCUGUCACGUCACACACUUAGCUCAAAUCAUAUGAAGAGGCCCUGCAAUCUAAAUACUGGGUUGAGGCUAUGAAUGUUGAGAUACUGGCUUUAGUAAAGAAUGGUACAUGGAAAUUGGUUGAUUCUCCUCCCUAAAUCAAACCCAUAGGAAGCAAAUGGGUAUUCGAAAUCAAAUAUCAUUCUGAUGGCACCAUUGAAAGGUACAAAGCCAGAUUGAUUGCUAAAGGGUAUAGCCAUAUUGAAGGACUUGACUACUUUGAAACUUUUUUCCCUGUAGCAAAAGUCACCACUGUUAGAAUGCUACUUUCUUUGGCCUCAAUCAAUAACUGGUUUUUGCAUAAGCUUGACGUGAAUAAUGCUUUUCUGCAUGGUGAUUUACAUGAAGAUGUGUACAUGGAACUCCCACAAGGUGUUCAUUCUUCUAAAUCUAAUCAAGUCUGCAAGUUAAAAAAAGUCCCUUUAUGGUUUGAGGCAGGCCAGUAGAUCAUGGUAUGAAAAAUUAACCCUAUUUCUUACCUAGCAAGGCUAUACUCAGGCUUCUGCAGAUCACACUCGUUUUGUGAAUGCUUCCAAUGAUACAUUCACUGUCUUAUUAGUGUAUGUUGAUGACAUCAUCUUAGCUGAAAAUUCUUUACCAGAGAUCACAAGAAUCAAGCAUUUACUUGAUUCAUCUUUUAAGAUCAAGGAUUUGGGUAAAUUGAAAUACUUCCUUGGACUUGAAGUUGCUUACUCCAACAAUGGCAUAUCUGUUUCUCAAAGGAAAUACUGUUUAGAUUUGCUCAAUGACUCUGGUUUAUUAGGCUCUAAACUUGUUUCCACACCUAUGGAUUCAUGUAUCAAGCUGCACCAUGAUGGGGGGAAACCCUAUGAAGAUAUUUACUCUUAUAGAAGGCUUGUAGGCAGAUUGAUAUACCUGACAAACACAAGACCAGAUAUUUGCUUUGUUGUUCAACAGCUUAGUCAAUUUCUAUCUGCACCAACAAAGACUCAUUACAAUGCAGCAUGUAGGGUAGUUAGAUACUUGAAGAAUUCACCAGGAAAAAGGCUUGUUUUUUCCUAAGUCAUCACAUAUACAACUUUUAGGGUUCACUGAUGCAGACUGGGCAAGCUGUGUUGAUACAAGGAGAUCCGUAACAGGUUUAUGUUUCUUUCUUGGCUCCUCUCUAAUAUCAUGACGCACUAAAAAGCAAAGCACAGUGUCUAUAUCUUCCAGUGAAGCAGAAUACAGAGCACUCUCAGCUGCAGCUUGUGAAAUGCAAUGGCUGAUCUAUCUUCUCAAAGACUUAAAAAUUCAGAAUACUAAGCUUCAUGUAUUGUAUUGUGAUAACAGAAGUGCAUUACAUAUUGCAGCAAAUCCAGUGUUUCAUGAAAGAACCAAACACUUGGAAAUAGGCUGCCAUUUUGUUAGGGAUAAGGUAUAAGAUGGAACUAUGAAGCUUCUUUCAGUUUCAAGUGUAGAACAAGCAGCUGACUUCUUCACUAAACCACUGCAUCCUAAGCCUUUUCUUACUUUGUUAUCCAAGCUUGGCAUGGUAGAUAGAUACCAAGCUCCAGCUUGUGGGAGGCUGUUACAAAAUAAAGAGGAAGAAGAACUUACUUGUGAUACAAGUAACUUGAGCAAACCCUAACAAACUUCAAUAUGCCAACUGUAUUUCUGUUAUGACAGUUAGAUGAGUUGUGUUACUAUGUAGUUAGUGUAUGAUAGAUAUAAUGUACUCUCAUUAGCUUAUAAAUAGGUGCUUGCACAUUGUAACAGAUUCAUUCAUUCAAUAAUACAUUUUUCUCCUUUCUAUUCACUUUACUUCUCUCAUUUUGAGUUUCUUAUUAACUGUGAACCAGAAAAUCUGAAUUUAUGGAAAAACUUUUAAGAACAUUUUGUCAUCUACUUACAUUGUUAUUAUUAAAAUCAAAACUAGUGAUUAUUGUUCUUCAGACCAAAUUGUUUCUUUGGAAGACCACCUCUUUACUACAUGCGAGUUUUCAUGUGCAGUGUGGUAUAAUAUAUUCAGUUAGUUUGGAAUCAAUAUCAAUAUGCAGUAAUGCUGAAGGACCCUUUCUAUUGCUUGAAUGUUUUUGCUUCCAAUUUCAACAAGGGGAGGGGUCGAAAGAAAUAUUGCUAAUAUGGAAUUCAGUAAUUUGGGAUAUUUGGAGUGCUAGAAAUGAAUAGAUCUCCUUCUCCAAGGUACCAUUGGUAGAAGAGGUAGUAAAUUUAAGUUAGUGUUUGUUGUGGAAAUGGCUGUUGGCAAAAAGAAAUGGGGGUACCUGUUUAUUCUUUGAAUGAUAUACCAAUCCGUUAAAUUGUAUUGAAUUCUAAGGUAAUUUUUAUCUCCAAAUCUAGUAAGAAAUUCUUAACAAAAAUCGUGCUACGAUACAGAAGCAACGUGCCAUAAUUGUUGAAGAAGUUCCUGAAGCAAGUCACAAGAAAAUCGUGUCAAGAUGGAAUCGUAACAGGGCACAAUGGGACGCUGAAGACGAAAACAGAAACGUAUUUUCAGUGCAGAUUUGUUCCAAAUUUUAAGGGUUACUUUUACUAUAAAUAUAGACAUUGUAUCAAAUGAAAAAGUGUGUAGAAAACAAGGUUUAGAAGUCAACAUAAAAACUAGGGUUUAUAGAGAAUUCUCUUGGCAACAAACACUAGGGUUGGGAUUGUUUUUGAUUCACCUUGAACAAAAUACCGUUAGAAUUGAGUCUCUUGGUCACGGGAAGAGAUUGAGACUUGGGUAAAAUUAGGUUUGAAGACUGAUUCUUGUAACCCUCAAUAUCUCUUUGUAAAGAAACUCAUAUCAUUAUAGUGGAACAGAGAGCUUCUCUCUCCCCCAGAGUAGGUCAUUAUUAGACGAACUGGGUAAACAUAUUCUUGUGUUCUCCUUCUUCCUUUAUCUCCUGCUGUUUAUUUUGUUUGAAUUAUAUUGUCACCCGCUUGAUUUGAUUGUUUAGUUUUAAUUUGUUCAACGCAUCAAGGUUUUAUUGGUGUGUUUUUCACAACGAAUUCACAACUGUUUUUAACAUAUACGCAAAAAAAAUCAUUCAAAAAGAUAUGUUAAUUUAACAACAGAAACUAAAUAUUGUUGUUACUAACCAAGUUGUUUGGGCUCCAGUGGCAAGGAGCUCCUUCCAAGGACGUGUCCGGGGAAUACCGGGUUGGAUUUCCAGGGGGAACAACGCUUGGUCAAUGCGCAUGCCUCUACACACGAGCCGGAUUAGUCGCCCACCUUUGGUGGAUCGAAAACCGGUGCGAAAGCCAAAAAAAAAAUAUUGUUGUUACUAAAACAUGCAUUUUUUCAUGCGGACGAAAAAAUGAUUGCAUUUUUUCAUGCAGACGAAAAAAUGAAAUUUGGUAAUUUUGUAGCAAUGACUUAACCCUUACUUUUUUUUGUUACCACUUAAUUAUACCAUUAAAUCCGUAAUAUAUGAGAAUUGCUAUUCCCACAUUUGAUAAGGCUGAGAAACAAGAGUAAAAUACGUUUUUGCCGAGGAAUUUAACAUCCGGCUGCAGUUAACUGUCGAGAAAAAUGUUAUAAGAACAGAACAGACAUAGGAGUUUCCAAAACUCCAUUGUUAUGUUUUUUGAUCUCGAAGGUGCGAUUUUGAGCUAUUUCAAGUCAUUCCAAGCCAAUUUCAAUCACCAAAACAAGUAGGUUUUUUUAAUCCUAUUGCAUUGUUGUUUUGCGGUUAAAUUGUUUAUUUUUUUUUUUGUUGUUAAAUUUCAAUUAUAUAGGUUCGACUAUAUUGAUUUGUUGUUUUUUUGAUAUGUUAGGAUAGUUUAGGUUAGAAUGGUUAGAAUUGUUAGAGAACUUUUAUUGAAUUGUUAGAUUUAGGUUUUGAUGAAUCGUUGUAGAAUUGUUUAGGUUUAGGUGUAGGUUUUGAUGAUAGUUUAAGUUUAGGUAUAGUUUUUGAUUUUACGAUUUUAUGGCAUUGUUGUUUAGUUAGGUUUUGAUUGCCAUUUUUUUUAAUGUAGAUAUGUCUCAGAAUCAGAAUCAGGGUAAUAUUCAGGGUGAUGAGAAGAACAAAGAAAAAUCGUCUAUGACGUGGCACGAAAUUGUUUGUGAUGGUUCCGAAAAAAAGAAGGGUUCGAAGGUGCCGGUGUACAAUCAUUCGAGGUUGAGGAGGAGCGGGAGGACAUGCUAUUUUGGUCCUCAACAAAAACAAGGUGCCCCAGGGAUUGUAGGGGCAACCCGAUUGACUUGUGUGACAAGGAAGAAUGAAUGUAAUGGCUUUUAAUGCCUAAUUGUUUUGGAAUUUUUUGUUUUAUUUUUGUGUCGCGCACAUUUUGUUUGACAUUAUGGUACUUAGAAUAAAAUCGCAUUUAGAAUAAUUUCGAUUAAAGUCGCGUUUUGAAAAAUUGCGUAUUCGAAUAAAAACUAAUUAAAUCUAACGUGAAUUCAACUAAUUAAAAUUGCGUAAUGAAUAAAUAAAUUCGAAAAGUGAAUAAAUAAGAUAAUUAUUGUUCGACUCAAAACAAAAUAUAUGUUAUCAUAUUACAUUGCAUUACAUUACAUUCCGGAAUGUACCUUCCAACUGCAACAAUUAUCUUACCACUGAAUGGGGCAAAUUCAAACUUGCUAACCAGCAGGACUCCAGUAUUCGAUCAGCAUCUUGAACGCUGGUAUUCAAGUGUCAAAAGAAUGAGGUGCAUUCCUUGACACUUGAAUACCAGCGUUCAAGACACUUAUCGAAUGUUGAAGUCCUGCCGAUUAACAAGUUUGAAUUGCCCCAUCCAGAGGCAGUUGGAAUGUGCAUUCCAACUACAACAAUUGUCUUACCUUUGAAUGGGGUCAAUUCAAACUUGCCAAACAACAGGACUCAAACAUUUCACCCGGCAUUCAUGUUUUCCUUUGAAAAAAAUAAAUUUUUGUUAGGCUUGCUUUAGAUGAUGGUAUUCAAUUGCCAACGAAAUGAAGUUCAUUCCUUGACACUUAAUACCUUCAUCUAAACCAGCCUAACAAGAAUUUAAUCUUUUCAAAGGAAAAACAUGAAUGCCGAGCGAAAUGCUUGAGUCCUGGCCGUUUGACAAGUUUGAAUUACCCCAUUUCAGAGGUAAGACAAUUGUUGCAGUUGGAAUGCACCUUACCUUAACUAAUGACGAUCUUCUAGCGGAAUCAAGCUUUUGAUGAUAUCUUCAGUUGAUCUCAGCAACGUCACCCGCAUAUCGAUCCACUGGAACAUGCUGUGCUCCCAAAACAUGCUCGUCACGUUUUCGUCGCUCGUUAAUUCCACCCAAGUGAAUGAUACUCUCCCCUCGUCGAGCGUUGGACGUUUAUACCGAACGUGUUCCACCCUCCUUGUGUCUCUAGGGUUGACUCAUUGGUUGAAUUCAGUCAGUUCAUCCUUGAGACCUCUUAAUGUUACACCAAGGCACCGAACCUUCAACCUCUGAGGUUCUCCGCCGUCGAAUUGUGCAUGAACGUCGAUCCAUCCGGCCUUUGUUUCAAAUCUACGCAAUAAGAAAUUAAAAAAAAUCGAUGAAAAACUCAUUCAAACAUUUCAUCAAACACUUGAUGUGCAAAUUAUACAUAGACUCUAAAAAUCAUAAAAAUAACCCUAAAAUUAUAAAUCAUAUACUCUUACUAAAAUAAAAAAAUUAAUCAUAUACUAUGACAUAAAUCAUUCAACUUAUGUUUAACAUAAAUUUUUUUGUUAUAACGUAAAAUAUAAAAAAAUUAUUUAACUUAUAUUUACUCUUAAAAUAAAUCAUAUACUUUUACUAAAAUAAAAAAAUAAAUAUAAAACACCAAAUUAAAAUAUAACCCUAAAAUUUUAAACUAUAACAUAAUCAUCAUGCAAACAUUUUAACUAAAUUAAUCCACUGACAUCUAAUCUAAAAAUGAUUUAUAACAUGUAAAUCUACUCAAAAACUAAAAAAUAGUAAAUCUACUCAAAAACUAACAAAUAAAAACAUUUAUAAUAACUAAAAUGUAAGUUAAUAACAUUAUAAUUACUUACUUGUGAUUUUGUUGAAUAAAUUUGGUUGGAUUUGGUUGGGGUUUUUAGAGAGAUUCGUGAGAGAGAUUUGAAAUUUUGGAAGAUGAGAUGAGAUGAAUAAUGGAUGAGAGAGCUUCUGCCAGAUUUGUAGUAGAAAAUCUUCGGCAGUUAACUACCGAGGUUUUCCUCGACAGUUAACUGCAGCCAGUUAUUAAAUUCUUCAGCAAUUAACUGCCGAGGAGUCAAAAACAUAUUUUACUCGUGUGUCUUAGCCUUAUGCAAUGUAUCAAUGGUAAUUCUCGUAAUAUAUUGUACGUAUGAGUAAGAACACUCAAGCAAUAUAUUUUACGAGGCCUAGCUAGCUAGUGUUCCAUUCCGGCUACUAGUAAUAUUUUCAUGAGUCUAACAAAUUAAUCAAUAACAUUUCCAGAAAAAGAAUCUGACCACCCUGGAGUGUGAAGAGUCCAAUAGUAGUAGCAUCAAUUUUUUUUAAUAUUUUUUUAACGAUAAAAUUUAUUAAUAACUAAAUAUCUGCACAAGACGAAUAACAUUGAGAAAAGCUCAAAGUCUCAAAUCGGAUAGAUAAAAUUUUAUAUAAGAGUUUAUAAAGAGGUGACACGUUUCACCUUAUGAGCCGAUUUUAUAAGAAUGAGUUAUGCUCAAAAUUUCAACAUGGUAUCAGAGCUUGUCAAUUAAAGGGCCACCAACCUUUCCACGCACCAAGCCUAAAGAGUGCUGGGCGUGAAAAUGAUGUAUUAUGAAAAACUCAAAUCCCACUUCGGAAAGAUAAGAUUCUUGAUAAAAGCUUAUAAAUUAGAGGUGGCAUAUGAGCCGGUUUUGUAAGGAUAAGUUAGACCCCAAAUUUCAAUAUGGUAUCACAUCUUGUCAAUUCAUGGGCCAUCUACCUAUCCACACACGUGCUCGGCGUAAAAGAGGUGUAUAUUGGGAAAAACCUAAGUCUCACUUCAAAUAAUACUCUUGAUAAAGAGGUGACACUCUUCACCUUAUGAGCCGGUUUUGUAAGGAUGUGUUAUGUCCCAAAUUUCAAGAUGGUAUCAAAGCUUGUCAAUUCAACGGUCAACUAUUUAUCCAUGCACCAAGCUCAAAACCCAAGUCAUACAUCGGAUAGAUAAGAGUUUAAAGUCCUACAUCAGAUAGAUAAGACUUUUGAUAAAAGUUUAUAAAGAGGUGGUGUUCCUCACCUUAUGAGUCGGUUUUAUAAAGAUGAGUUACACCGCAAAUUUAUAAAAAAAAAAAAGAAAAAUGUUAGAUAGACACCAU
Molecule: long non-coding RNA, 79056 nt
Filed under: Medicago truncatula (barrel medic)
Lineage: Eukaryota; Viridiplantae; Streptophyta; Magnoliopsida; Fabales; Fabaceae
Description: long non-coding RNA (MTRU_LNC000421)
Rfam family: MIR5271 microRNA precursor family (bases 24487-24564)
Source: RNAcentral